GGGGGAUGGUAAUUGCAACCGUUCGAGAAUUUACAACUUGGUGUGGGGAAUGUGCGAUAUCAUAUGAUAGUCUUCUCCUCUGUAACGUUCUUCUAGAAUAGGACAUCCCCUAAUACUCAAUUCCUGCAGUGUCGUCGUUUGAAGAAGGUGAUCUGGCAGCACAUUUAAUUUGGGGCAGCAAUCAAUUUCCAAGGAAGAAAGACGCGGCAUGAUGGAGAUGUUUUCCUUCCUCGUAACCCUGUAAUUCCACUCUUCCAAUUCAUCCAAGUCCUCAAUUUUGAGUGAUUUCAAUUUGGAGAAGGCAAUAACUGAUGAAGAUGAAGAUGUGUCAUCAACACUACUCUCUUCUAUUCCCAAAAACUCAUCACCCACUCUUUUUACACUAAUCAAAUUGUAUAGGGUGAGUUUUUCCAGAAGCAAUUUUCCCAGUGGAGGCAAAUGCUCACAGUUAACGCACGAGAAGAGUUUUAGUUCCCUUAGAUUGGUUAGCAAAGUCAACCAUUUGGGAAAAAUGUUGCCUCCGUAGAAUAUAAUCCAUAAUUCCUCUACAUUCAAAGGCGGUUGUAAGGCUUCAAGAAGUUGUUUAUCUUUCUCAUUCUUCCUCCUCCCUUCUUCGCCUUCCCCAUCUACGACUCUACCAAACUCAAGAUGCAAACGAAGGAGGUUUUUCUUAUUGUAAAGUUGUAACCUCUCAGCCUCAUCUACAUGCGAUACAUUACUCAGCCCUUCUACUCUACAUUCACGAAGGAGUUGAAGAUUUUUCAGAGAUUCAAGCCUACACGUGCUGCCACCAUCAACACCUCCACCCACAACAAACUUUUCUAAUGUUCGAAGGCUGGUCAAUCUGGAAAUCCCUAUUGGCAGGUACUUCAGCUUUUCAGUUUGACCAUUCAUUAAACUCCUCAUGUUCAUUAACUUUCCAAUCCCCCCAGGCAAUUCUCUAAGAUUUGUACACCAUCUAACAGCUAGCUUUUGUAAAUUAUAUAAUUCACACAAAGUCUCAGGCAGUCUCUCUAUACAUAAUUCAGAUAAAUUAAGAUAUUUUAAAUGUAUCAAUUUUCCAAUAUUUUCUGGAAUUUCUCUAAUGAAAUUUUUGUCAUCUAAGGGUACGAACCAUUGCCUUAUAACUAGUGCCCUUAAACAUGCCACUUUACUAAAUAACUCCACAAGGAUGCUGCCAUUAAGAGACGGACUGUAAGGACUUAAAUCAUAAAUUAAGAGGGUACGCAAUCUAUUAAAUUCAGGAGUGGACAUAGGAAAUGAAGCUCCUCCUUCAAAGUUUAACCCUAAGUGACGGACUUUCUCACCAAAAGAGUUUAUGACUGAUUCUUUCCUACUGUUAAUUUCUACCCACAAACAUUCUUCUCUAGUUACAAGUUGGGCAAAAUCAUGUACUAUGUCAUGCAUCUUGCAACUCAUAACAUUAUCAUCAUAAUCUUUCACAAACUCUUGAAAGAAAGAGCGUGUUGCUAAAAUGUUGAAAUACUCUUCUCCAAUAAUCUCCAUCUCUUCAUCUUCUUCUGAAUUAAGGUAACAUUGAGCCAUCCAUAGUGUAAUUAGUUCAUCUUUCCUUAUAUUGUAGUCUUUUGGAAAGACAGAACAAUAUGAGAAACAUCGUUUUACCAUAGAAUUGGAGGGCAAAUCGUGAUAGCUCAAUAACAAAGGAGGCAAAAGACCUUUCCCAAUCUCUUCCACCUUCCACAUUUCACUAUCUAAAAUUCUUUGCCACUCGCUUACUGUUCUUUUAGAGCGCAACAGAUUCCCAAUUACCUUUGCAGCAAGAGGCAAGCCUUUGCACUUACAUGCAAUUUUUCGUCCGAUUGGUUCUAAUUUUUCACAAUCCUCAAAGGACCUACCUAGAAAUGCUACCUGCUUAAACAGUGACCAACAUUCCCCUUCACCCAACUCCUUGACAGAGAUAAUAUCUAUUGAUCCCAUUUGGAGUGCAACUGACCUAUCACGUGUGGUAAUUAGAAUUUUACUCUCAUGGUGGCCAUUCUUUAGACAAGAAAAGAACGGGUCCCAUUUUUUGUAAUCUCCAUCCCACACAUCAUCCAAAACAAGAAAAAAUUUCUUCCCCCUAAUAGAUUCCUGAAUCUGUUGCAUAAGAGAUUGGAAUUCGCCUAAACUAGAAGCAGAUUUGUCUAAAACCUCAAGAAUUGCUUUAGCAAUCCUAAUCUCCUCAAAAGCGUCUGAUACACACACCCAUAUAACUAUGUCAAACUUUCUUUUCACCCCCUCAUUGUUGAAGGCUAGUUGCGCAAGGGUUGUUUUACCUAUACCCCCUAACCCAAACAGUGAGAUGAUACGAAGGCCUUUUUGUUGUUCGCUACUCUCACCUAACAACUUGCUCAUUUUUCUCGUCAAUUCUACCACAAAUCUCCCCCUCAUCAACCAAGGAGGUGGUUCGCACUCGCUCUGGCUUCUUGACAUUGUUACUCACAUUCUCAGCAAAUUUAAACCUAUCUUUUUGAGAGGUAAUAUCAUCCAGCGUUUUAUUGAUUUCUCUAAUCUUGACAGCAAUGUCAUGACGAAGACUGAGUUGUUUGAAACUACCGAAGCAGUUUGAGGCAGAAGGAAAGAAGGAACAUACCUUCUUCUUAUGAGCAGCAAGAGCAAGAGUAUUGUCAUCGUCAAGGCCCUCAAUCUGCAAUUUGAGCCUUGCAGUGGUCCACUCCUCCAACACAUCUUCCAUGUCGUAAGAUGCGUCUUUGAGCUGAUCCAGCCAAAAAGUAACAGCUUUGUCGUGCUGCAUUUGCCUUUUCUCUGCAUCUUCCAGCACAAGUUGAAUGGCUUGAAGAUUGCUGGUAAGCUUUUUCACUUCUUCUCGGACACCAGUCACAAGCCUCACCUGUUGUUUCACUUCAUCAGCCGCAACAGAGAUCAGCUGCUCCAUGAGAGAGGAAACGAUCGCAUCAACCAUUCUGACAAAGAAGACGAGAAUUCUGAAGAGUUAUUAGAUGUGCUUUUGUUGCGAUGAUACUGAAAGAAAAGGAGUUAUUGCAUUCUUUUAUAAUGCAUAGAAAAAGUUUAUGCUUAUCCCCACCCCACACGUCAAUGAUUGUAGAAUGUUUAAUUUCCCUGAUUCUACUCCACUAGUUGUGAUGCGUAAUUAUAAAUAUUCUCAAAUUAUAUAUGAAAUAGCACAAAUUUGGAUCUAGUAAUGAUUUAUAUGAUUUCUGUGUGUUCACUUUUCCGUAAUCUUCUACUAUAAGGGUUCAGAUUUAAUUACUAAUUUAAAAAAUAAGCACAAAAUAAUAUCAAGCAUUAAUGUUAUUAGUAAUACUCAAAUUCACAAAGGAAUAAAUAACGAAAAGAAAAAAGAUUGGAAAAAUCAUAUUGGUAAAUUAGCACAUUGUUUUUUUAAUAAUCUCAAUAAAAUUAGUAAUACUCAUAUUAGUCCCUAAAACAUUAUUAUGUAUAAGUUAAAAAAUCUUAUUAGUCUCCAUGAUCAAUAUUUAUGGAAAUAUUUUUGGCCUAGGCUGAGAAAAAAAUUCCUAGUUUCAUCACUAGUUAACCUCAAGUAUACAUCCCAUAUACACACACACACACAUUCCUUCUCGAGUGUGGGCGCCGUCAUUUUUUUUUUUUAUAUGAACACACUUUUAAGCCACAUGGCUUAAUAGAGUUAAUUUUUUAAUGCUAUUAAACCACGCGACUUUAAAGUAUAUUGAAAAUUAACUCUAUUAAGUCGUAUGAUUUAACAGAGUGUCUGCAUUAAAAAAAAGAAAAAAGAAAGAGGUUACAUAUAUAUGCGGGAAAGGUCUAAGAACUUUUCUGUACUUUAAAAUUUUGGAUUAAAAAAUUUAUAUAUAUAUAUAUAUAAAGAGUAAUGAUAUAACCACAAACUCUUGUACAAAUUUAUUUUGUACAAACUGAUGUAGCGUUAAUCUAUUGGUUGAAUUAAAUAUCUCUUGGCCCACAUGAUUUAUUUAUAUUAUUUUAUAUUUUCAUUCAACCAAUGAAUUAAUGAUACAUCAGUUUGCAUAAUAUAAGUUUGUACAGUAGUUUAUGACUGUAUCAUCACUCAUAUAUAAAUUCUCUCCCGCAUACAUCCACGCAAAAUAGAGUCCGAAUUUGACAUUUCACAGUCUUAAGAAAAUAACUUUCACCACUGCAAAACUAUCAACGAUGGCUUAAAACACUAUGCUUACAUGUUUCAUGUGGAAAUCUAUGAAGAGAUAACGACUAUAUAUAUAUAAACAUAUCUUAAUUUCUAAUAAGAUAUUAGCCAAUGUUUAAUCAACAUUUAUGCAAAGGGGUCCCCCCUCUUUAUUUGGAGGAAUUUGGCACCAGAUGAAAAAUUUAUGCUUAUCCCCAACCCAUACGUUAGUAAUUGUAGUAGCAUCUUUUAAUUUCCCUGAUUCUACACCACUAGCUGUCGUACAUAAUUAUAAAUAUUCUCAAAUUUGUCGCAUCUUUAAAGUAUGAACACUGGUUUUGUCCAUGUCACUUUUUCUAUCUUAUUGCAAUAUGAGGUAGACGAAUUCAGUUUCUUCAAGAUAUGGGAAACGAUCGCAUCGGCCAUUCUAAUAUUAGAUUAAAUGCUAAAUGUUACAAUUGUUUUUGUUGCGAAAAUGCUCAAAAGAAAGUAGCUUUUAUGAAUUCUGUGAGAAUGCUCAUUCAAGCAUUUUUUAAUUCUUCUUAUACUACAUGAAACAUUGAAUUUUUACCCUUGAGUCAAUGUCAAUGAGAAUGCUUUUGUGCUGGAAAUCAAAGGAGUCCCCAAAGGAGUCAUCGUCUGGGGCUAGCUUUCUGCACCACCACGUCAAUAAUGGUCUAGAUCUCCCCUGUUUCUCUGAUUCAUAAUAAUUGUGCAGACUACUUUGCAUCAGCAUUCGUAAAAGUUCUUACUUUUCUAAUUAGUAACAAAAUAUUUGUAAGCUACAACAUAAAACUUAUAGCAAUCUAUCGAUGAAUCUUCUGAAUUCAUAUUUAAUAAAUUCGAUAUAAUAUAGUCAUUAGUUUUUUAUUAUAAACAUCAGUAUAUUUUUUAUGAUAUAACAUAUAUUGAUGAAACUAUAUAAAGCAAUUUCGCCCUAUUAUAUAAAUUCAUUAUGAAUUUCAUCACAAAUUUGUAUGCGAUCGGGACCGUGCAAGUGAGAUUUCAGAUAAAAUCAUCUCCUGACAAUUUAUUUAAUAUUUUACUUUUCAAUUUAGCUUUAACGUAUGGCCGACAACUUUUGUUAUCCGGAAGGCCAAAUCAGUAUCAUAAAGUAGUGAAUCUGUUUUAGUCCACAGUCAAUACAUAACUUCAUUAUGUUUGCAUGUCAUGAUAAAAUGAGAAUUGUUAAAUAUAAUUUAGUAAUAAAAUUACUAUAAUAAUAAUUACUAUUAUUAAUAUAAUGAUUAUAAAUAAUAUCAAUAAUAAAAAUUUUAUUAUUAUCAAUACUACUACUAUUAUUAUAAUAAUAAAAUAAAAUAGUACUAAUUAUUUUGAUAAUAGUAAUUAAUAAUAAUAAUAACAAUAAUAAAAAUUAUCAUCAUCAUCAAUAAAUUUUUCAUAAUAAUAAUAAUAUAUAAAGAAGGAAAAAAUAAGAAUUUUAAAAUUUGAGUGGGAGUAAUAUUGUUACCUCAGGAAAUGGGAUUCCCAUUUGCACCUCCUCCCAUAGGAAUGUGAACUCUAGUAAUCACUCCUUAUUUUAGUUUGGGCCAAUCACUUUUAUUCAAAUUCCUUCUCUCAUUCAAUCAAGUAAACAUAUCAUUAAUUUAAUUCCGAUUACCAAUAAGUAAACACAUUUAUUAUAGUGGUGAUGCCUUUUUUUCUUAUAUAAAGACAAAUGCAAAUUCAUCGGAGUCAUUUUCAAAUAAGGGUUUCUAUAAAUAAUUUUCUUUUUUAAACUAAGAAAAGAUAGCAUAUUGUCACGGACCACUCAAAUUUACCACUAAAGGAGGCCAAACUAGCCUGCCAAGGUGAGCUCAAUAAAAGACUGCCCAAACACGAAGUAUGCUAAGUAGAAAGGUGCGCUCAAUCCAAAACCCAAGGUAACCAAGUCCAAUCCAAUUUUAGAAAUCUCUACAAUACAAUAGCAACUGUAAAUAUCUAAAUAAUUCUACAGUUGCGUACUCUAGAACUUAGUAGAUAACUAGGCAAGUUACGCAAGUUGCAUAGAACUCUCUAGAUCUAGGCAAGCCUCCCUAUAAAUAGGGCAUGGCAUCCACCAUUUUGCACGACACCACACACCAAGCAUAAGUAGAUCAAGCAUACUUGUAAUGCUCUCUUGUAUUCUCUCUUUCAAGUAAUAAAAUUCGUUUUGGCUACAUUGCUCUCUUCUCUCCAGCUUUUUUGCAAUCAUCUUUUCUUAGCUAGUUUGAGAAGUUCGAUAGGUUUAAUUAGCAAUUUUUGUGCUAGAAGUUAUUUAAGUGUCACAUGGAUUGCUGUGCAAAUUAUUUAUGCCGUGACAAUAUGUUAUGAUUAUUAUGAAUUUUCCACCACUUUAUAUAAAAUCCUCUAAUUUAUUUAAAUUGUGAGUCAUAGAAGUAUAUUACCCAAAUUGUUCUAUUAUCAUAUUAAUAUAAUAUUUUUGUGUUGACACUUGUAAACAAUUGAAAAGUUUUGUUUUACUAUAAAAGUGUAGCAUCUCUGCAUGUAAUAUCAUCUCAUUUUUCCUCAAACAAUAUUACUAGCAAGAGAAUGGAAUUAGAAUUCUCCAUCUCAAAGUUUAAGUUGUUGGUUAUCAACACUUUCUUCAUGUUCUUUGUAUAGUUUAGAUACUUCCUAAUUAGAUUUGCAACAUGUUAUCAAGACAACUUUACUUUGAUUCAAGAAAGUACUCAAUUUCCUAUGCUCUCAUUUCAUAUGUUUAUUUACCAACUCUAUACUUAUACGUAUGUUUUAUAGUCACUAUUGAUUUAGAGUUACAUCAAAUAAAAAAAAAAAGGUGAGUGAUCUUCUAUUCUUUUAUGUAGGACAUUAAUGGGGUGAGAUGGGGGUGGAGAGGCCUACCUCAUUACCCACCCCAUUAAAAGUUUUACCUUUAUUCCUCAUCCCAUUUCCCAAUAAAAUUCAGUGGAGUGGGGAUGAAGAAUUCUCAUGUGAGGAAUGAUUUAUCUAUUCCUACCCUAUUCUCCAUUUACUUAUUUUAUAAUAGGUAUAGAUAAAUGAUUUCAGUAAAUUAAAAAUUAAAAACUUAAAUAAAUUUAUUAUCAUAUUACAAAUGAUUUAAAUUGUUUUAAAAAAUCUCCAAAAGGUUGAAAUAAUAUCUUGAACUAAUAUUAAAAUUAAAAAAUGUUUGAAGAGUAUAGUAUCUUAAGAGGAAAAAGAAAACAUAAGAAUGCCUUUAGGGUUAAAUAAGUAUUAUAAUGUAGGGUUUUCUUUUAGUUAUAACUUAUUUAUAUUAGGUAAAUAAAAAGAAAAUUUAUUAACCAACAUUUUAAUUGAUAAAAUAAAAUUAUUGAAUAAAAACUAAAAAAAUAUUCAUUUAUAAUAGGAAUUGGGGUGGGGAUGGGGUAGGAAGUACAAAACCAACCCCACCCCAUUAAGAAUUUGAAAAUUAUUUUUUCCUCAUUCUCUACCCAUUCUUCAAAAAUUAUUUAAAAUUCACCUCAUUUAAGGUGGAGACUAUCCUAUCAGUACUUUCAUGGCAUGAAAUUAUUAUGCUCCGUGAUGAUUAUUGAUUUGUCUAAUUUUAGAUGAGUUAUUAUUUUGGAGAUCAGUGCUUUUGCUGCUAUGCUGAAAGAAAAGGAGCUAGAUUAUUCUUCUUUAUACUGCAUCAUAAAAUAUUUACUAAUAGUCGAUAUUCUAUCAACAACUAUGCAAAGGAGUCCCUACUGAAAAGCUGAAUUUAGAAUUCAAUGAAAGUUUUAAUCAUUGUAGCAUCUGUAAUUUUCCUGUUUCGACUUCACACUUUGUGUUACAUAGUUGUUAACUAUAAUAUUCUCAAAUAAAUUUGCAGUGGUCGGGCCCGUGCCAGUCAAAAAGAGAAAAAAUAAAACAAAAGUUGGAAAAUCAUGCAGCCGACCACUACAAAUUAAUUUAAAAAAAGUAGUGGAAUAUUAGGUAGGCGAAUGCGGUUCAUCGUUCAUAGGUCAUUUAAGAAAGUAAUCGCGCCCUAAUUAUUUUUUUUCUUUUAUCUAAUCAAGAAAAUGUAGCAUAUUUUUUUUAUUGAUUUGCAAUUCUUUAAAAAAAAUGAAUGAUUGAUAGAUAAUAUUAAUUUUUUAAGUUAUUUUAAUUAUUAAAAAAACUAUUACAUAUUUUAUUUAUAAUAUUAUAUUCAUAUUUAUUAUAGAACUGUAUUUUAGGUAAAUUUUAGUUGCUGUGUUUGAAUGAAUAGAUACUUAUUUAAUUCUUAUAUUUUAAGUUAUAUUCACGUUUAAUCUUUAUAUUUUAAAAAAAUAUGAUAGGACUCCCCUGAUGUUAAUAUCUUACACUAUCCUGUUCUUACCUUUUAUUUCCUUUUUGUUUAUUUUUUGUUUCCUAGCUUUUUACUCCACCACAUCAAUAAUUGUAUAGCUUCUCUGAUUCAUAAUAAUUAUGCAGACUACUCAGCAUCACCACUUGUAAAAUCUCUUAUAUUUGUAUUUCGCAAGUUGCAGCGCUUAAGAUAAGUAAUAAAAUAUUUGUAAACGACAACAAAAAGCUUUGAGCAAUCUAUCUAUGAACAUUCUGAAGUUUAAUAUAGUAUAUUAAUUUGAUCUAGAGUGGUCUCAGUAGGGAGAUUUUCUGAUUAUAAAUAUUAAUAGACAUUUAAUUGUUUGAGAAGUCGGAGUUAAAUCAAUUCCAUAAUCAUUUUAAUUAAUUAAGAUGAAUAUCAUACUAUGGAUUUGCCUCGUAUUACGAAGAAAAUGUACGAAAGAUAGUUAAGGAACAGCUUUUUUGAAAUUUUUUUCCAGGAGCUGAUAUUAUAUUAAAAAAUUGGGUGAAAAUAUAAGCUGAUAAUAUAUUAAAAAAUUGGGUGAAAUACAAGUAAAGGUAUUGCAGACUGAUCCGUUUAAGCUUGUGAGAGGACUCGUCGGUCGUCAAUUAUUUUCUCUCGUUCUUGGGAUACAUACAAGAAAAAAGUUCGAGGUGAGUUAUUAACAGUAAACCCAAACUGCCCUAUUUUAUUAAUAGCAAAUAGAAUAUUAGUACUCUUAAGGUGAGUUUUGACACGCUGUAUUUAUAUUAUGGUUUAUUUCAUCAGAAUGUACUACUUUGAGUUGUGAUACAAUACUAAAUUUGAUGUAUAUAAUAAAAUAAUAUUAUUUUUUGUUAAAAUUAAAUUAUUUUUAUUUAAAUAUAUUAAUAUUUAUUAUUAUUAAUUUUUAAAGAAGAAUUAAAUAUUCUUGUAUUUAAUUUUAUAAAUAUAAAAAAUUUAAUAGUAUAUUAUUACUAAUUAAUAAGAUAUUACAAUACUAUGUUAUUUUAUUAAUUCUAUUAUAUUACAAUAUAAUUUUAUUUAUAUGUAUUACUUUUUAUAAUAUAGUAUAAUCAUAUUAUAAUAUGGUAUAAUAUGAUUAUUAUGUAAUGAAAGUAAAAUAACGUACUACCAUUUAUUUAUUUAGGUUCAUUACUAUCUUAUAUUAUUAUUACUUAAAUUAAAUUUUAUUUAAAUACAAAUAUAAAUUAAUAUUUAAUAAAUAUAAAUUUAAUAUAAUUAUAAAAUAAUAAAGAUUAAAUGAUUAUACUUAAAAUAUGAACAAUGUUUUAAUACAAUACAGCCUAAAUUCUAUCUCCGCUUAGUUUUAUUUUUAUACCUUUCAUUGUAUUACCUAUCUUUUUAAUAUUGUGCAAUGCAACUAGAAAUUUCAGCCGAAGGAGGGUUAGCAUAAGAACCAUCUUUUUAAUAUUAUGAUGUAUUGCAUUAUUUAAUAAGGGUCAUUGUAUUGUCACUAUAUUAUACUAAUAUUGUAUGAUGUUUUGUGUUCCACUGUAUUGUAUUAUCUAAAAUAAUAUUUUAUAUAAUUAUUUAUGUGAAAUUAAUAUUAUGUAUAUUUAUUAAUGCUUUAUAUCAUUAUUAUAUCACAUUUAUUAAUUUAAUUUACAAACAAAAAAAUAAAUCACUGACAGCCACAUCAACCAUCGCUAAUCACCACGAAUCAGCGCCGACACCACAUUUUGGUUUUAUUUGAUGUUAUUUUUGGUAUCGUAAAAAUCCUCAUCGGUGGAGGACUGCAACGUACAUGUUUCACUGGAAAUAGAGCUUCCGGUCACUGGAGAUCUAUAGACAAAGUUUUGAUGUUCAAAAUUUUGACCAUAGAUUUAUGGCGAAAGGAACCUCGGUUCUGAUCAAACAUAUAUUGUUGUAAUGCUCAAACAACGAGAUCCAACAAUACUAAAAUAAACUCAAAUAGACAUAUAAAUCUAGCUGCCGAUUUUUGCGAGAGUGAUUUCAAGCAGUUGCCAUUGCCGAUUAAUAUUAAAUAGUAAUUAUUAUUGAUAAUAUAAUUUUAUUAUAUUAUUUUGUAUUUAUAAUAACUAAUAACUAAAUGUAAAUUCAUAUUAUAUAUUUUUAAUUAUUUUUUAAUUUUAUUAUAAUAUUAUAAUAUUAUAAUAUUUUCUUUUCUUUUUUAGUUAGUGUGCAGUUCUAAUAUGCUUCGGUGCUUGCUGCUUUAAAUUCGAAAAUAUAAACUUAUUAUUAUUUUAUUUUUUAUUAUAUUAAAUAAUUAUUUUAUAUAAAUAUGAUGUGGUAUUAUUAAAUAACAUAAUAAACUUGAAAAUAACUAAAAAUACAUAAUACGAAUUUACACUUAUUUAUUAAUUAUUAUAGAUAUAAAAAUAAAAUAAAAGGUAGAAUAUAAUAUAAAUAGUAUUGUAAUAUAAUAUAAUUUUAUUAAAUUAUUAGUUCGAUUUUAUAUUAAUUAUCAAUAGCUUUUGCUCAUUUAUAUAGCAAAAGCUAAUGCGUCAACUUGCGCAGUGCACUAACUCCAGCUCCCCCGGGUUUGUGUAAUGCACCAAAAUUUAUAAUGUGGGCAUUAUAGACAGCUCCACAACGCAACUUCGAAAUUUGCCAAACAUGGGUUGGUAACAAGUUUUGAAGCCCCAAAAGUUCAAUAAACAGUACCUCAGUGCUUGAAGCUCUAAGUUACCAAAAAUGAAAUCAAUUUUGAAGUCAUUGUUGUUGCAAAACAAAAGUGUAAAGGGAAAGUUGACGAGUGUUUCUUAAACACUACUAAUUGUCAAGUUAAAACUGUUUGGUAUGCUAUUUAGAACUUAUGCUUUAGUAAAUAGUUGUGGGCAGUAAUCGGUUACCUUGCCAAAACCAAAUUGCAAUUAUUUACUAAAACACUUAUCUUUGGCAGCAGAGUGACCAAAAAGCUCAUACAAACAGCGCCUCAAUCCAGCUGGGUUAAGGGUUCCAAUGAAAAGUAAAUUUUCUCUAACAGACACACUUUUCCUACAACUAAGAUUUAUUCUGAAGAAAUCUCAAAAGAUUUAUUCUAGAUAAUGUAAAGCCGUAAAUGUGACACAGGCAUGUUUUAGAUUUAGUCCAAGAGACAAGUACAAUCCAAGAUUAUGACUCCAAUUGUUUCAAUUGAUUGUAUUUUUCUAGACAUAAUUAAAUUACGUAUAAAAUAUAUAUUGUUAGAAAGGUGAAUAUGUCUAGUUUUUGAAGAAUUUUAUGGAAUUAAAUUCAAACUUCUGUUCUUAAAGAAAUUCAUGACUUUGUCAAUGAAGGUCACAACUGUUAGGAAUUCUACACAUAGCAAAAAAGUUUUGAAUUUACUGGCAUUAAUGCAUCAAGAUCUAAUUAAGAAGCUUCAAAUCAGUGAAAAGCUUUUGAGUCAAGAGUUCAAUGAAUUUUACAUGUUUGAUUUGGAGUUUUCUACAUCAAGAUAUGAUUAAACGAGUGUUGACUGCUUACACUUGCGGUUGAAACCGACCUUGAUAUCAAAUUGUAUUUUGCUUUGUUUUCUUUCACCUCAUGAUAGCUAAGACCUGUUAUUCAAAUUUGAUUUGAAUUCUAAAUGAUAGAGAUCUUAUCCUAAGCUCGGAGGGAUGUUCCAAGUUGUCUAUACAAAAAAGUAUUACAUUGUAACUUUACAAAACAGGGUGAUUAUGAGAAUGUAACUUAGAAGAGUGCUCUUGUUAGGGUUUCUUCAUGCAACUCUAUAUCUCUUGGUUCGAUUCCUUAGAGUGGUGAGUUGAGAAGUGUUGGGGAAAAAUUAGGUUUUUAAAUUUUUAUAAAACCUUUUGAAGAUCGCUCUCAUAUAAUAUAUAAGAAUUUGUAUUCUAGAAAUCGUACCUUGAAAAUCCGAGUUGGCUUUUUCCGCUGAAGUGAUUUAGGCUCCUAGAUCACGAUCUGCCACCACCACUCCUGUUAGAUCACGAUCCGUCACCACCACGCUUGUUAGAUCACGAACUGUCACUAAUGAUCUUCCAGGUUAUGACUCAGGUUCAAUCUGCACUUGACGUGUGGGCGCCUUUAUCACUACCAAAGCAACUAGCACGAGAAAAUUUUUCUCUCAACAAUAGAGAGAAAAAUCUUAUUCUCUGAUCUGUAUAAAGUGGUUUCUCCCUUUUCCUUUAGAGAAAAUAAGCCUUAUAUAUCUCCCUUUAGUGAAAACCCUAGGCUCCAAGAAUGCCCAAAAUAAAACUCACGUUACUUUUCAUUUAAUAGGGGACCCACCAUGUAAAAGAACAUAAGGCCCCUUACACAUAAGCUUAUUAAAUGGAGCCUCCCACUAAAUGAUAUAUUUAGGCUUUUGACCCAAAUAGCUAGUUAUCUUGCUUAUUAGUCCAGUAGUGGUGCAGUCAAUUAAAUGAGCUAACCCGGGGAUCAUUUGGGAACAUACAAUAGUGGCUAUAACAAUUAGGCCUGUAAUUAAACUAGCCUAAUUAUUUAAUUCCAAAUCUACUCCACUAAAAGAUUGGAACUGACUUCCAUAAUUGUAUGCUCGAAUAAUAAUUCGUCCCAAGCCACAUUGAUUUCUUUAGUGCACAAUCCUUUGUACCACAUCGUUAAUUAAAUUGAUAUCUCAACUGUCCAAUCAAUUUAAUAACAUCUUAUUCCUUGAUCCUUACUGGUUUUCUCUAAUGAUCAUUUUCAACAUACUAAAUAUGUUGACACACUCUGGCCAGAGAAUUCUAUGAUCAAGUGCCGAAAGCCCAUCAAGAGAUGUGUUGUACAAAUUCUAUAUUGUUAAUCCAUAACUCCAAUACUCAUAAUUGCUCCCACCAAGAUACCGAGUAAUCUUGACCACAAGGAUGUGUCGUACCCAUUGGUAACUCAAAUGGAAUAACAAUUAAAAUCAUGAAAUCAUAAUUAACUCAAGAUUAAGAUUACAGUAAAAUCAAUGCCUAUGAGAUUUAAUAAGUCUGGCAGUUAUUACAAAGUUAAUUAAAUCUCAUAUGUGAUCCUGUUCAAUGUAGUCGUACUACAUCAAUAAAUUCAUACAUGAUUAAGACAAAUCAUUCAAUGAAUUUAUUACAGUCUAUACCUAAAUAAAGUACCCAACUUUAUUUAUCAACUGCGAACUAAAUUUAUUUAAUCAUAAGAUAACUUAUAUUUAUGUCUUCUGUGAAUCCACAUGGUGAUCACAUAAAUACAUAUAAUAUGAUUAAUGGACUUUAAUACAAAUAUUAAUGCAAUUAAGAUAUUUGAAUAAAAUACCUCAUCUAUUUUAUUAAUCAGAAAAAUUGUUUAUUACAAUUAAAUAAACACAUAUGCUUUUAAAGAGCAUAUUUUCCCAACAAUCUCCCACUAGCUCUCAAAGCAUAUUUGGCAUCUCACGCAUGCCCAUGGAUUCUAAGUGCAAGUUAAAAGGUUUCCCAGGUAUGGCCGUAGUAAAAGGAUCUGCCAAGUUUUGCUGUGACGCAAUAUGAGUAACCUCCACAUUACCUCUCUACACUAUAUCCCUUAUAAGAUGAUACUUCCUCUCAAUAUGUUUUUGUUUCUUGUGGUUCCUUGGUUCCUUAGAUUGAGCUACCGCACCACUAUUAUCGCAAAAUAGUUUCAGGGGUGCAGUUACAGCAGGUACCACCUCAAGAUCUUGUAGGAACUUGCGGAGCCAUACAGCUUCUUUUGCAGCUUCGGAUGCAGCCACAUAUUCAGCUUCAAUUGUGGAGUGUGCGAUACAAGAUUGUUUCACACUCCUCCAACUAAUAGCUCCACUUCCCAAUGUAAACACAUAGCCGGAAGUUGAUUUUCUAGAAUCCUUAUCUGACAUAAAGUCAGAAUCAGUAUAACCCACUGGAAUGAGUUCAUCACCAGAAUACACAAGCAUAUAAUUUUUAGUUCUUUUCAGAUACUUCAUUAUAUGCUUGACCGCAGUCCAGUGUUCAGGUCCAGGAUUAGAUUGAUAUCUACUAACCAUCCCUACUGCAAAACAGAUGUCUGGCCUAGUGCAAAGCAUGGCAUACAUGAGACUUCCCACAGCUUCUGCAUAGGGAACUCGUCUCAUUCGCUCUAUCUCUUCAGAUGUUUUAGGUGAUUGAUCCUUAGAGAAUGUAAUUCCAUGUCUGAAUGGUAAUAAACCAGUCUUGGAAUUUUCCAUGCUAAAUCUAGCCAAUAUCUUAUCGAUAUAAACCGCUUGAGACAAGGCUAAAGUUUUAUUCUUCCGGUCUCGUAGUAACUUGAUACCAAGAAUAUAACUUGCCUCUCAUAGGUCUUUCAUAUCAAAUUGUUUUGCUAACCAAUUCUUUAUUGUAGUCAAUACUCCUAUAUCGUUUCCAAUUAGGAGAAUAUCGUCUACAUAAAGAAUUAGGAAGGCUACAGAUUUUUCUUGAAUUUUCUUGUACACACAUGGUUCAUCAAUGUUCUAAAUGAAUCCAAACGAUUUAAUCGCUUGAUCGAAUCUGAUGUUCCAUGACCGGGAUGCUUGCUUCAAUCCAUAAAUGGAUCUCUGCAACUUACAUACCAUGUGUUUUUGGCCUUUUUGUAUAAAUCCAUCUGGUUGCUGCAUGUAGAUGUUUUCUUUAAGAUGCCCGUUAAGAAAGACAGUCUUGACAUCCAUUUGCCAAAUUUCAUAAUCUAGCACUGCAGCAAUGGAGAGCAGAAUCCUGAUGGAUUUAAGCAUAGCAACCGGAGAAAAUUUUUCCUCAUAAUCGAUUCCCUCUUUCUGAGUAAACCCUUUGGCUACUAAUCUUGCUUUAAAUGUUUCCACCCUUCCAUCUACUCCUCUUUUUCUCUUGUAGAUCCACUUGCACCCUAUAGGUUUUACCCCAUUUGGUGCCUCUACAAGUUCCCAGACUUUAUUGGAAUACAUAGAUUCCAUUUCUUGAUUCAUGGCUUUUUUCCAAAAUUCAACAUCUCUAUCUAUUAGAGCUUCGUUGUAACUAGUGGGAUCUUGUACAUGUUCAUCUGAGAUAGCCGUAUAGGUUUCUCCUAAAAGCAUGUAUCUCGCAGGUAACCUAGUUACCCUCCCACUACGACGAGGUUCUAAAAGUGAUGGUUGUUCAGGGUUAAUCCUGUGUUGAUCAUCUGGUUGUUGAUGUUCUUCCUGUUCUGUAACAGGCGUUGAAAGUUGAGCAUCAACUUGAUCACCUAACAGUUCUUCAAGUAUUACCUUACUCUUAGGUUUGAAGUUAUUCAUAUAGUCUUCCUCGAGGGAAGUGAAAUGUGUGCUCACGAUCACUUUCCUAUCUUGAGGACUAUAAAAUAAACCUCCCCUUGUUCCUUUGGGAUACCCCACAAACAUACAAACUUCAAAACGUGAAUCCAUUUUGUCUGCCUUUGGUUUCAGCACAUGUGCUGGUGAUCCCCAAAUACGGACAUGUCGUAAACUUGGUUUGCGACCUGACCAUAAUUCUAUUGGGGUUUUAGGCACUGACUUAGAUGGAACUAAGUUCAAAAGGUAAACUGCAGUUUCCAGUGCUAGUCCCCAAAAAGAGAUUGGUAAUGACGAAUAACUAAGCAUAGAUCUCACCAUAUCCAAAAGAGUUCUAUUUCUUCUUUCAGCUACCCCAUUUUGUUGUGGUGUUCCUGGGGCAGUCAACUGAGAUAUAAUCCCAUUUUCAACUAGAUACUCUUUGAAAUCUCCUGAGUGAAAUUCACCACCUCGAUCAGAUCGAAGUUUCUUUUGUUCUUAUCUAAUUGCUUUUCUGUCUCAGCCCUAUACUCUUUGAAUUUCUCAAGAGCUUCAGACUUAUGACGCAUCAGAUAAACAUAACCGUAUCUUGAGUAAUCAUCAGUGAAAGUGAUGAAAUACUCAUAACCUCCUCGAGCUUGUACAUUGAUUGGUCCACAUACAUCUGUAUGUACCAAUUCAAGUGGUACUGUUGCACGUACUCCUUUAGCCGAGAAUGGCCUUUUGGUCAUUUUCCUUUCUAAACAGGAUUCACAGAGUGGCAAUGAUUCAUUUUCUAAUGGACCCAAGAGCCCAUCUUUGAUCAUUCUCUGUAUCCUAUUUUGGUUUAUAUGACCCAAGCGUAAAUGCCAGAGGUAACAUUGGUUGGAAGAAAUAUUUCUUUUCUUAGAUAAAUGUGUAUGCUCAUCAUUAUUUAUCACUGUGUCAUGCAUAGAAUGGAUCAUUGGACUUAAAUGAUAUAAAUUAUCUUCCAAUGUACCAGAAAAAAUAAGUCUCUUAUUCUGAAAAAUAGAAACAGAGGAUCCAAAAUUUACAGUGUACCCUUGCUUUGACAAACAAGCUACUGAAAUUAAAUUCCUCUUAAUGUCUGGAACAUAAAGACAAUUAUUCAAAACUAAAGUCUCAUUAUUAAAAGUUAAUAAAACAGAUCCAGUCUUCACUGCUGAUACGAACUGUUCUGUCCCUAACUGCAGCUUGAUGCUUCCUUCACUUAUUUUCCUGGUUUCCUGAAACCAAUAAAGUGAAUUACAAAUAUGAUUAGUUGCUCCUGAAUCCAACACCCAAGUGUCAAUAGGAUUCUGAACUAAACAUGCCUCAAUUACAAAAAGAUUUCCCAUACCUGAUUUCACAAUCUUAGGGCAAUCCUUUUUCCAGUGACCUUUCUGUCCACACUUAAAGCAUUUGCCUUUCGGCUUGCCAUCUUGCUUGGUAGACGGUUUCUUUUUCCCAGCUUUCUUCUUACCUUUGCCUUUCGACUUAGGCCCAGAAGAUGAACUUUUUUCAGUAAUAUUUAUGCUUCCCAGAGAUUUCUCAGCAAGAUAGAUCUCUUCAGCAGAAUGGAGUUCGUUCAUCAAUUCAAUUAAGGUCAUGUUUCUUUUGUUCAUGUUAUAAUUGACCUUAAACUCCUUGAAUGUUUCUGGUAGAUAUUCUAGCACCAUGUCAAUCUUUGAGUUAUCAUCGAUUUGUGCUCCUUGAAUCUCAGCCUCAUUCAAAUAGUCCAUCAUUUUGAGGACAUGAUCACGAACUCUUGUGCCCUUCCCCAUUUUACUGUUCAUAAUUCCUUUCAGUGUUGCUUGUCUCGCUGAGCGAGUACUCUGCCCCAACAUCUGUUGGAGACUAUCCAUUAUUUCAGUGGCAGUCUCCAAGUUCUGAUGUUUGGUCUGCAGAAUAUUAGAAAUCGAGGCUAAAAUGUAGCACUUUGCCAUUUCAUUGGCCUUUCGUCAUUUCUCAUAAAGCCUCCUCUGAUUUCUAUGAGCAUCAUCCGCUGGAACUGGAGGGCAUGGCUGGGUUAAGCCAUAUUUAUAAUUUUCAGCAGUCAGGACAAUGAAUAGAUUUCUUUUCCAAUCUAUAUAGUUCUCUCCAGUGAGUUUGUUUUGACUCAGAAUAAUAGUAAGUGGGCUCAGGGAAGAUAUUUUCUGAAAAAUAAAACAUCCAUGCAUAAAUAAUUUGAAAUAAUAUUCACAAUAAAUGACAAAAAUGCAUAAAACCAUAAAUGCAUUUUAAUUUAUUGAAACGAUAAUCUAGUUCCACUUUGACAAGCUAUCCGGUGGGGAAGUCAUGUCUAUACUUACUAGACCCAAUUACCCAUUGGAUUAUUUACUUUCAUGUAGAGACAUGAUAAAUAAUUAUCAUUAUCUUUUUGGGCCUAAAUUUGCUAACAGAGCUUCGUUGGGAAGGUUAAUAACAAAUUUUAGUUGAGUGUAUAACCAUUGUUUCAAUCUACGUAUUUUUCAUAUCAAUAGUCACCGUUGCGGUGAACAAUCGAUUGAAAAAUAUUUCAAUUUUAUCUUUGAAGAAGUUCAUCAAAUAAAAUAUCUAAUAUAUAUACCCUCCGAAGGGAGCAUCACCGUAUCAUGAAGUCGAGGUAUAUAUAUAAUUUUAUUAUUGAACUAACAAUAGAGCCCGUGGGAAAAUUAUCUUGAAUUUUCCCUCUCCCACUCAAUAUUUUAAAAUUGGUUUUUUCCUUUUUAAAACAUACAUAUUGUUAAUUGCAUGCUUCCUAUAAUAUUAUCUAGAUGAUAUCAAAUAUUAUUAAGCAUACACAAAUUUCAAACAAUAUUAUGAAAUUCAUUAUUAAUGAAUGACAUGUAUCAUUAUGCAUAGAGUGGCACUACCUAUUCUAUAUGACAUUGUUAUCAUGGCAUGUGAUCAUCCAAAACAUAACAUAUAGAAAAACAAUUAAAUAAUCUUAAUUCAUGGUUUUCCUAAUAAUGAAAAAUACAUUAACCCUAAGCCUAAUCUUCAUUGGGCUUCUUGUCAAUGUCCAUCUUCGAUAAACUUGUCUUUGUUAAUGGACUAAGGGAAAUUGGGCUUUUAAAUUUAUAAUUGGUCCAAUUUUAAUUUUAAAUAAAUAAAUAAAUAAAAUUUUUUUAUUAAAAUAAAAUUUUUGGACCAAAAAUAAAUUUAAUGUAUUUAAUUUUGUCUAUGCAUUUUAAUCCAUUAAGCCCAAUUGAAAUUGGGCCUAAAACUAGGAUCCAUUAAACCCAAAACUAUUUUUGGAUUUAAACGUAAAAAAUAAAAAACGUUUCUGCCCAACUGAAAAAAUAUGAAACUAUAGGGACCUCCACGAUAAAAACCAUGGAACCCUAAAAUCACAUUUUUCUUUUCCUCCUCUUCCCCAGCCGCCACCAGCAAAAAAAAACAGCCGUUGUUUACUGUUUCCACACCGGACAACCGUCAUCAACGCCGGAAAGACGCCAACCAAAACGCUCCGCGCCUCCAGCCCACGUUCACGCUGCUGCUCGAGCGCUGCAGUUGCUGCAUGUGCAGCGCGCGCUGCAGCUGCUGCGUGUGCAGCUCGCACUGCUAGCAGCGUGGCUGCUGGCUGCUGCGCGCGCUGCUGGCAGCAUGUGCUGCUGGCCGCUCGCUGCUGCGUGCGCUGGUUCGUUGCUACAGUUUCCAACAAGUUUCUGCAAUUUUCCAGUGAUUUACAAUUAUCUGAUGCUAAUUUUGGCUUACAAAAAUUUUUAUUAGGAUAAACUAAAUCAAGAGGGGAGCAUGGUGAUAAAAGACCACCCCUCUUGUUACAGAUCCAAAGAAAAAUUACAAUGAAAAAUCUAACCAUGAAUUAAGACAAAUCAUAAACAUGUUUUAUUCAUAUAUUAAACAAAUAAUAUACAUCUGAAUAAAUUGUGCCACUCUAAUACAUAAAUAUCAAUAUUGAUUUCAUACGAAAUUCUUAUGUAUUAAUAUGAGAUGGGCUCUGAUACCAAUUGUUGGGGAAAAAUUAGGUUUUUAAAUUUUUAUAAAACCUUUUGAAGAUCGCUCUCAUAUAAUAUAUAAGAAUUUGUAUUCUAGAAAUCGUACCUUGAAAAUCAGAGUUGGCUUUUUCCGCUGAAGUGAUUUAGGCUCCUAGAUCACGAUCUGCCACCACCACUCCUGUUAGAUCACGAUCCGUCACCACCACGCUUGUUAGAUCACGAACUGUCACCAAUGAUCUUUCAGAUUAUGACUCAGGUUCAAUCUGGACUUGACGUGUGGGCGCCUUUAUCACUACCAAAGCAACUAGCACCAGAAAAUUUUUCUCUCAACAAUAGAGAGAAAAACCUUAUUCUCUGAUCUGUAUAAAGUGGCUUCUCCCUUUUCCUUUAGAGAAAAUAAGCCUUAUAUAUCUCCCUUUAGUGAAAACCAUAGGCUCCAAGAAUGCCCAAAAUAAAACUCACGUUACUUUUCAUUUAAUAGGGGACCCACCAUAUAAAAGAACAUAAGGCCCCUUACACAUAAGCUUAUUAAAUGGAGCCUCCCACUAAAUGAUAUAUUUAGGCUUUUGACCCAAAUAGCUAGUUAUCUUGCUUAUUAGUCCAAUAGUGGUGCAGUCAAUUAAAUGAGCUAACCCGGGGAUCAUUUGGGAACAUACAAUAGUGGCUAUAACAAUUAGGCCUGUAAUUAAACUAGCCUAAUUAUUUAAUUCCAAAUCUACUCCACUAAAAGAUUGGAACUGACUUCCAUAAUUGUAUGCUCGAAUAAUAAUUCGUCCCAAGCCACAUUGAUUUCUUUAGUGCACAAUCCUUUGUACCACAUCGUUAAUUAAAUUGAUAUCUCAACUGUCCAAUCAAUUUAAUAACAUCUUAUUCCUUGAUCCUUACUGGUUUUCUCUAAUGAUCAUUUUCAACAUACUAAAUAUGUUGACACACUCUGGCCAGAGAAUUCUAUGAUCAAGUGCCGAAAACCCAUCAAGAGAUGUGUUGUACAAAUUCUAUAUUGUUAAUCCAUAACUCCAAUACUCAUAUUGCUCCCACCAAGAUACCGAGUAAUCUUGACCACAAGGAUGUGUCGUGCCCAUUGGUAACUCAAAUGGAAUAACAAUUACAAUCAUGAAAUCAUAAUUAACUCAAGAUUAAGAUUACAGUAAAAUCAAUGCCUAUGAGAUUUAAUAAGUCUGACAGUUAUUACAAAGUUAAUUAAAUCUCAUAUGUGAUCCUGUUCAAUGUAGUCGUACUACAUCAAAAAAUUCAUACAUGAUUAAGACAAAUCAUUCAAUCAUAAGAUAACUUGUAUUUAUGUCUUCUGUGAAUCCACAUGGUGAUCACAUAAAUACAUAUAAUAUGAUUAAAUGGACUUUAAUACAAAUAUUAAUGCAAUUAAGAUAUUUGAAUAAAAUACCUCAUCUAUUUUAUUAAUCAGAAAAAUUGUUUAUUACAAUUAAAUAAACACAUAUGCUUUUAAAGAGCAUAUUUUCCCAACAAGAAGUGCGGUAUCUCUUGUAGGAUAUCAUUAGAUGGUGAAUAUCUAUAUCCUUUUGUAAUCCUCUUAAAUGGUGAGCUUUGGUAAGUUAGAAUGCCUUGUAUCUCUUGUAAGACAUCAUUGGGUGGUGAAUAUCCCAUUGUAAUGAGCUUUGCUCUUGCCUUAUCUACGUGUGUGUUUUACUUAAUAAUGAAGUUCAGUUUAUAAUUAGGCCAACAUCAAAAUGGCAUUAGAUGUUUGUUGUAUUCUUCGCUUUCCUUUGAGACAGUCCAAAAUUUGCUAAAGUUUUCACAACAAAAGUAGGAUGUGAUGUCCUUUAUAUAUUUUUGUUAGAAAGGAAACAGACAAAAUGCAUUUAGCAUUGUCAAAGCAAGGAUAGAACAACGCAAAUUUUUUUGACAAAUAGAGCACCAUUUGAUUUGGAAGAAAAGCUGGAAUAAUAAACAAGCAGAGAUCAAAACUGAAAUCAACCCAAAAUCGAAGAAGAAAUGUGGAAAGGAUACCAAUACAUUGGACAUUUGAAGAUACAUAGUCUGAAUGUUAGACUGAGUAUAAGUAACCUCCUAACCAAACUAAUGUUAUGAAUUGGUCAAUUUUAUUCUCUGUAGGUCCAUGUUCGAACAUAGGGAAGCUAAAUGCCCUUUUAACAAUACCUUCUUUAAUUCUGCCUGGAAAUUGUGAUAGGACUUUGGGCUAAAUUAGGGCUGACUUUUAUUGAUUAGAUCAAAAGAAAGAACAAUCCUGACCUACCUCUCUCAAAACUCCUAAUUAUUCCUAUCACUAGACAAAACUCAACAUAAAUCCUAAAUGACUCCUUAAUCUCUUAUUUAUACCCGAGCCAAAAUUAACAAUAAAUAAAAUUACUAAACUGGCCCUAGCCCUAAAAUUACUAAGUUUUUCCCACCCUUUAUAAAAUUACUAAACUGGCCCUAUCCCUAAACUGACUUUUAUUGAUUAGAUCAAAAGAAAGAACAAUCCUGACCUACCUCUCCCAAAACUCCUAAUUAUUCCUGCCACUAGACAAAACUCAACAUAAAUCCUAAAUGACUCCUUAAUCUCUUAUUUAUACCCGAGCCAAAAUUAACAAUAAAUAAAAUUACUAAACUAGCCCUAUCCCUAAAAUUACUAAGUUUUUCCCACCCUUUAUAUUUGCGGCUAACAUAAGUUUUAUCGGUCUAACAUUACUCCUCUCUUAAAAAUACACCUCGUCUUCAAGGUGAAAUAAAGGAAACUGCUGUUUUUUCUUCCUUGGCUUCUUCCCUACCUUCCUUCUCAUCACACGUAGUUAGGACUUGUAGUGAUUUAUCCUUACAUCGAUGACUCGAUGAAAAUUUCUCAUCGCAUUGAAAAACAACCUCAUUGUCCUCUUAUCUUGAAUCUAUGUCUUUGUGAGCCAUUUGAAAGUCACCCCUAGUUGUGCCCGACUAACCCGAUCCCUUUAGGAAUCUCUUUAUAACCCCAUCAUUUGCAUUUUUUAGCCUUCUAAUGGUGUGCUUUGGAACUUUGGCUGAAACCCCAAAGUUUGGGUUUUCUGUCCUAUCAAUGGUGUGCUUUUUUGGUAUGAAAAACAGACUAAACUGCUCAUAUUACCCCGUUCUAUUGUGUUCUUAUCAUUAAUCAUCUGUGCCAGCUCCAUUGACUCCUCUAACCCUCUCUACCCUAACAAGUGUAGUGAGCUCAAAUUUCUGGCUUCAGUUCCUUCAUAAAUUUCCCUUCCAAUACUGCCUCUUGGAUUCCCCCAAAUACCCUGAUAGCAACUCAAACUUCUCCUUAUACUCCAUGAUUGGUCUUUCCUAGGUCAGAGCAAAAAACUAUUCAGACAAAUCUCCCUUUUGAGUGGCUUGAAGCUUUUCUAAUAGUCGGUCCUUGAAUUCACCCUAUAAAUCAAUGAUUGUCAUUGUUCUCGCCAUUGAAACCAUGCAAGGGCCUUUUUUCCCAAGCAUAACGCGGCCGUCGUCAGCUUUUUCCUUUUUAAGAGUCCAUUCAUGGUGAAAGAGUGCUCUAUCUUAUACAUCCAACCAUAGGCAUCCUCACCUUCAAAAAUAGGCAUUAUCAGUUUCCUUACCCUAGAAUCUACCCCAAAUUGAGUCUGUCCCGCCCGAUUUCGCACUAUUAGAGGCCUCUAACCUCUCGAAUCUACUUCAAUUUCACAAAUCUUGAGACUUAGCCCCAAAUUCUCCUAGUCUAGCCCCAUAUUAGGCUGAAAUCCCUUGCUCAAUUGUUUUCUGGUAAAAACCGCUCUCUCUCACAUCGAAAACCCCUCUUCCCGCCCAUCCGGCCCUAAAUCCGAACUAUCCAGACCCAAAAUCGCCCUGCCUUGGCCCAAAGCAACCCUAUAUCUUAUGUUGGAAAGAUAUAUCAUUUAAAUCCUACUAUUUCUAAAAUAUAACUAAUUCAAACUUUAUGUGUGUCAUUAAUUAAAAUCAUCCUCUAAUCUAUUUUUUAGAAAAUAAAACAAAAUCUCAAUAAUAAUAUUUCAUAAAACAAGCAUAUUUCAUGUUAACCCAACCAAAAACCAUCCGAAAACCUCCUUCUACUCAUAGUUACAAAGAAAAUCUCACCCCAAUCCAUUAAAAUUGUCAAAUUUAAACAAAAAUUAUAAAAUUUGAAAUAAAAAUCCCAAAAUUUAUAAAAAACGAAAAUAUUUUUUUUCCCUCUCUUUUACUUUCUUCAUAUUCUUCGUUCUAUUCCCUGUUCAUCUUCUUCUUCGUUCAUUUUUUUCUUCUCUUUCACACACUUAACAAAUCCACAACCACUGUUAAUUUCAAAUCAGCCCAGCAAAACCCAUGUCUAUUGCCUGGCAAAAGCCAUGGCCUCGCACUGCCAUGUCCAGCAAAACCCAUGGCUACGCUAGCAAAAUCAUGGCAGCUGGGCACGGGCAUUCCAAGCAAGCCCAUGGAUGCAUGCAGCCAUGCCAAGCAAACCCAUGGCUGUGGGCGGCCAAUCCAAGCGAGCCCAUAGCUACGCGUUGCGACUAUUCCAAGCAAUCCCAUAGCCAUCAGCAACCAUUCCAAGUAAGCCCAUAGACGUGCGUAGCCAUGCCAAGCACACAUUGAUCCAAUCAAAUGGUUGUUAAUGUUGAGAGAUGAACAAAAUCUGAGGUUAUGACUAUGUUCGACAUGUCGGUUAUUCAACCUGGUAAUAGAUGAUGUGUCAGUUAUCUCGAGUAAGGAAGCCAUAUGACAAAGUUGUUCCGUCAGUUGAGUGAAUAAGUUGAGCAGUUGAUACAACACGUGCAUUACUUACUCAAAACGGUAGAUGAAGACAGCAUUUCUGAGGUGAUUGCAACACGUGUCCAAAAGCUAGUUUAAAUGGCUAGUAAAAGCUGUUGAAAGGCGCGGGAAAUUUCUAGGUUUGUUGCUAACAAACCCAGUAACGUUGAGCUGGCUUCUGGGGGUAUUUCUAAAAGCAAUUUCGUGUUGUAUAAAGCCUUGUGAGUUGUUAUAUGGGAUUAAUCCAGAGGGUGACAGUUUCUCAGCUUCUUUUGUAUCUUGUAAAGGCCAGAUUAGUAAAAAAGCUUGCUUUCCUUUUCACAGUGGAUGUAGGUCACCUAUGUGGAUAAACCACUAUAAUCCUUUUAAGUCCUUGUGUGUGUGUUUUUAGUUCUUUAUCUGAUUCGAUCUCUGAUUGUUUCAGUAUCUGUGUCUUCAUCAAGAUUGUGUUGAUUAUUAGCCAUUCUUAGGUCAAAGAGAUUUUGAGAUCUUAGGGGAUCAAGAUCGGUUUCUUACUGGUUUUGGUCCAGCAGUUAAUAAUUUUCAUGAUUAGUCUGGUUUUGGGGUUCACUAAUGAAUUUGGGAAGAAGCUAAGAUUUGUUGAAAAGGAGAUGAUGGGCCAAGACUUGGAAUAGUGGCGUUGCUGCACCAUCGCGUAGCUCCAAACUUCACUGCAAGUUGCUGGCAUGGCUACUAUGGCCUUAUGAUGCUUGGCGAAGAUGAAGCGUGGAGAACAUGUAGAAAACGGUAAGAAAUAAAAAAAAAAGGGAAAAUGAACCGAACCAGAUAAAGAAAUUAACCAGAAAAUAAAAAAAAGAAAAAAGUUAAAAAAAAUUAUUUUUCUUAUUUUAAAAAGAAAUAAUUUUUAUGCUUUUGCAGUUAAAAAAUUAACUAAUUAAAAAAUAAAAAUUAUAAAUUUGGGUACAAAUCGAAUUUUAUUGAAAUGUUUGAGUGUGCAUUGAAAUUUGUUGAAAUAUUUGGGCCAAAUGGUUCUUAAGAAAGAGAACUGAAUGUGAAAUGAAUUUUGUAAUCGAAUCAAAACGAAUCAAAAUAUUUCAAUUUGGUUCGAUUCGGUUCAAUUUUGAAGUUCAGUUCAGGUUCAAUUCGUAUUAUGCCAAUUUGGAAAACACUUCUAAGAAUCAGAAACAAAAAUAGAAACAUCAUGAGAAUUCAAAAGGAAAGAAACUGAGAGAAAAGAAACGAAACUCCAUUGAGCCAAAGAACAAGAGGCAGGGGUCUAUGUGUAUAGAGAGAAUUCAAUCACACAAGAACAAGAAACAAAAGUGGAGACAUCAUGAGAAUUCAAUCACCGUGAGAUUGCGAGGGAGAGACCAGAGAGUUUGUUGUGCCGCCGCCGACCUUGAGAGAGAUGGCUGCCGAUUUAGGGUUAUGAAACAUUUAAGAUUAGGAAUUGAAAAAUGAAAAAAAAAAUUAUUUUAGGCAUUAUAUUUUAAAAUAAAUAUAUUUUUUAAUUAAGUUGAAGCGAACCGAUCAGUUUGUCAAUUCAAACUAAACCAAAUACAAACCAAUUGAUUCGUUUGUUUUCAAACCAUUCGGUUUCUAACUUCUAAACCGAACCGUUGCCCGCCCCUACAUUUGGGUUUUGUGGAAAUUGCCUUUUAUGUUUUGACUUCUUAUCCAUGAGUUGACUGUUAAGAGAAUGUACAAAUAUAAUUUUAUGCUUUCAGUAGUUAAAUUUAAUGGGAAGAAAACAGUAUUUGGGGAUAAGUUUAAGUUUUUAUACUUUUAAGGGGUAAAUUGAAGUUUGUCAAUCUAAUAAGGGAUAUAAUACAAUUUACCCUUAUUUUUUACUCUAAAAUAACAAAUUAUUACUUAACUAAACAUAUUUCACUAAUGCUCCUUAUUUCCAACCAAACGGUGGGACUUGGCCUUGUGCCCAAAAUUCAUAAUCUAAUUUUAGCUGAUGUGUCAUGUGUGCUGCAUCAGAUAACUGUAGAUAAUAAUAGCUAACACAUUAACGAAAAUUAAAAAUACUAGUUUACAAAAUACAAAUCCGAAUUUUGUGUGUGAGGGAAUUUAAAAAUGGAGAGACUAAAAAAAUGUGGUGACAAAUGACAUUUAUUACCAAAAUUGAAAAUACAAAGUUUAGGCAACUGAAAGCAUCUCUUCAAUUGCAUUCAACCAAUUACCACCAUUCAUAAUUAACCAAAAUCAAAUAAAUUAAAAAAAAAAAAACAGAAAACAAUCACAACACUUUGAUCAUCCCUGCUUCUUCUUCUUCUUAGCAUAGCUCUUGGAAUAAAAAUUAACAAAAAGUGCCGAAAGGGACGCAUUAAACACAGCGUUGAAGCACCAACCCCAAAUCCCAGGCAACCAAAACCCGUGAAAUGAUAAUACAGCAUCAAAACCGAAACAACAAAACCAAACACAAACUGAACAAUCUGACAAUCAGUGACCAAUCUCUUCCACUUUGGCCGCAACCCCAUCACACACAACAGAUAGUACCCGUACAUGAUCACAUGCACACUUGCAUUGGUGACAAGUGCAAUAGGAAACAAAGACUGCUUCGUCUGUAACCAAAGGUAGCACAUUACAACGCGGUUGUAUGGUGGUAGACGUGGAGGAACGUGAGCCGUUGGACGGAGUUUGACAAAAUGAUCAAAAGGGUGUCUAAGAAUUCGAGUAUUUUGGAGAGGUAGAAGAUGUAAGCGUAGAAGAAGAGAGGGCCAGACAGAGAAAUGGCAGGGGGGAAACAGAGGGUGUAAUGGAGGUGGGGUAAAUGGAGGAUGAUGGAGAGAGUGCAACCAACGGCCAUGAUGAGGGAGAGGAGGAGGACGGUGAGGUUAUGGACGGCUAUGCUGGGCUUGAGGAUGUGGGUCCAAUGAGAGGUGAUGAUGGUGGUGAUGUUGAUGUUGAUGCGUGGUAGAGGAUGAAUGAGGAAGUGUGGGGAGGAAGCUAGUGUUUGGUUCGGAGUCCAUGUGAAGUUGAGGAUUUGGGGGUGGUUUACAAGCCAAUAUUGGAGUGUUGAGGUAAUUGAAUAUGAAGCCAUGGCUGGUUUUUGGGGGAAAGAAAGAUUUGGAAGAGAUGAUGUUGAGAGGAACGGGGGAGUUUAUAAAGUUUUGGGAUAAUGUGGAGGGUAUUUUGGACAUAUUGUUGUCUUAGCUUAAAUUUUGGGAAAAAGAUAGUCAAUAAUAAACUCUUUUUUCAUAUCAAUUUAAAACUCCGAGUGUGUUUCCAAAACUUGUUUUCCUUUUUCCGUUUUAGAUUUUAAAUCGGAAAUUUAGUAAAGGAAGUUAAAUCAAGUGAUCACUCUUUUGUUUUUCUUUCUUUUUUCAUGUAAAGCAAUUAAUAUUUUUUGUGAUUUAAACAAAUAUUGAGUUGGGUACUUUAACUAUAUUAAUAUUUGAUUCGAAAUUUCAUCUACCGAAACUACAAAAAUUAAUAUUUUUUAUUAAAUCAAAACUAAAAUUAAAAGAUGAUUCAUUGUCUGUCAACUGUCAUUAAACGAAGCCAUCACUCACACAAAAAAAAAGUGAUAUGUUCAUUUUAACGUAAUUUCAUACCAACAUGUCAUUCUUUUCUUUCAAACAAUGACCUCUUUAAUUAUAAAAUAUGGUAAAAGAGUAAUAAUACAGUAAUACAGCCACAAACUCUUGUACAAAUUUAUUUUGUAAACUUAUGUGGCGUCAAUUUAUUGGUUAAAUUAAAUAUCUCUUGGCCCACAUGAUUUACUUUCAUUAUUUUGUAUUUUCAUUCAACCAAUGAAUUGACGUCAUAUUAGUUUGUACAAAAUAAGUUUGUAUAAAAAUUUGUGGCUAUAUCGUCACUCAUGGUAAAAAGGGAUGGGUUCGAGGUAUGGCAUCCAGGCCUUUGUGACAACGGCUUCUUUGGACGUGGGUGUCAUUAGAUUUUUUGCUAUUAUCAUAUCAUCAGUUUUUUUUUGGCUAUUUCUGCUCAAUCAAACUUGUGGAUUACAUGCACUCAACGUCAACAAUGGAAAUGGGAGAAAAUUAAGUUAAUAAAAUCAAGUAAGUCAAAUAAGGUCCAGAAUAUACAAUUGCGUUUAGUGGCAGGAGGGUACGCAAAUACAUGGGAAAGAACUAUUUUUAGUCCAAUUUCAUGUUUGGAUGUUGAGGUUGAUAUGGAAAGGAUGUGGCUUCCCACAUAAAACCCACCGAUUCGUUCUAAACUAAGUGAAUUUAUCUCGUGAGCUAAGUUGGUUUAGGACGUAACUCAAAUAAUUAAUUUUUUAUUAGUUUAGUAAUAAAAAUUUGGAUUAUAUUUUAAAACUAUAAUUCAACAGAAAAAAAAAACUUAAUAAAAAUAACUGUUAUUUAACAUAUUAUAUUUUUUCAAUAAUAAAAUAAUUCAAAAUAGUAACAUCUCAUAUGGAAAGGAUGUGGCUCCCACAUAAAAAUAACCCACCGUUUCAUCCUAAACUAAGUGAAUUUAUCUCGUGAAAUAAGUAGUUUAGGAGAUGACUCAAAUAAUUAAUUUUUCAUUAGUUUAAUAAUAAGAAUUUAUAAUUAUAUUUUAAAUCAUUAAAAAAAUACUUAAUAAAAAUAAUUGUUAUUUAAGAUAUUACAUUUUUACAAUAAUAAAAUAAUUCAAAUUUUUUUAUUACAAUAAAAUUUGUAAUAUAAUUGAAUCAUACACUACGUCACAUAAAAUACAAAAUAGUACUAAAUGUAAUCCGUUUCGUUCUAAACAAAGUGAAUUUAUCUCGUGAGCUAAGUAGUUUAGUAGAUAACUCAAAUAAUUAAUUUUUUAUUAGUUUAGUAAUAAGAAUUUUCAAUUAUAUUUUAAAAAGUAUAAUUCAUUGCAACAAAAAUACUUAAUAAAAAUAACUGUUAUUUAAGAUAUUAAAUUUUUACAAUAAUAAAAUAAUUCAAAUUUUUGAUUAGUAUAACACUAAAAUUUGUAAUAUAAUGCGUUCAUAUACUACAUCACAUAAAAUAUAAACUAGCACUAAUUAUAAUCUUGUUACAACCAUUCCUAUUAUAUUCUAUCACAUCAUAUGCUAUCAUAUUUCAUCCAGCAUGUCAAACGUGCAAAGUUUAAGUAAGAUUUGUUAAAGUUGAGUAACAUCUCAUAUGGUCAAGCGCGUGGAGUAUGGACUUACAUUAUCGAGUGGGUACAACUAAAGUCGGGUAAAGUUUGGUGAAUCUUUAUAUAUAUUAUUGGGGUUGGACAACCAUAUCUUUUAAGCUAUAUAAUUAAAUAAUUUUGGUAAACAUUUGCUAUUGUGACUUAAAAAUUAAUUUGAUUUGAGCUCAUACUUUAUUAUAAAAAAAACUUAUAAUAUCUUUAUUAUUUUUAUUAAAAUUAUUAUUUAAAAGUCAUAUAUUUGUUACACAUUGUCAUUUUUUUUUUCAUUAAUAUCGAAUAAGACCUAAGUUGAGUAUGAUCAAAUAAUUUAAGUUUUGAUUUUUAUUCUACAAAAUAAUCAUUAGAUAAUUAGUCUGUAAAGAAUAUCAGCUACUUCAAAUGGAAAUUUGUGAUCAAAAGUGUACCACAGAAGUGACAAAGACACUAUAUGAGAAAUCUGAAAUAGAAUUUAAUAUCUUAGAAUAUACGACGUUGCAUCACAUAUGGUAUUUAGACAUCAAGAAAAGAAUCCCUCUAUCUGUGAACCACACUUGCCAGGAAAUUAACACCAGGGGAAUACCACCAAAAUUGGGCAAUUGACUACAUCAACUCCAACAAAUUUAUGCAGACACCUUCCUCCAGACCAUCCUCUUUCUUCGCGCUUUAGUUGCCCCUAUUUCCCAUUAUCUUGUUUGACGCCAAGGAGCCCAAGCCCAGAAACAAUGGCAUUCUUUGGUAUCAACCACCUGGAGACUUUGGUAUCAAGCCUGUUGUGCAAGGCUUCUUCAAAAGGUCAUCCGUUGAUCUUUCUCCUAAUUAGACAUUCAAAACCCUGCAUGGAAUCCAUUUGAGAAGUUGGACAAUAGACAAACUCCAACACAUAUAGACAGUAAAGAAGAAUUCAGACCGCGAUCACUGUGGCUGAACAAAUGGGCCUAUUAAGCCUAUUAAAAGUUGGAACCAUAUUCACCACUCGCAUUUCCUUAGAGAACUAUAUCAGAAUUCUGUAAAUUGAAAACUAUUCUUACAUAUUUAACUGAAAAACAAGAGAAAUUAUACUUCCGUAGCAAAGUCUCACUAUUGGUAAGUAUCUGGACUUGGAAAGGAUGCUAGUUGAUUAAGUAAAGGAAAAUUGAUAGAUAUAUACACUUCAAUAGGAACCACAUUAACAACUUAUGAGACAAACAAACAAAUUCCCCAGUCAAAGUUCAAAAAACGAAACAUUAAAAUAAGAGUAAUUUGGUCUAUCAAUGUAUACAUAGAGAUGUCGAUCAAUAGACAAAUACGUAAAAGAAGAGGGAAUGACCUCAAAGCCGUGCCUAAGAUCAGUGCUACUCCAAUAACUUCAAAAUGGUUGGUGACCGCUCUAUCAAAUCCACACAAUAGCUGAUAUCUCAUGUUUGCAUAUAGUCCAAUGAAAGCACCAUAACCAAGCACAUUAGUACUUACAGAUGGGAUUGUCACAGACAACCUGUCAGGCAGAUGGCCCAAAUUUAACAAAUGUUACACUGGCUUAGACAGCAAACAGAACAAUCUUCUAAGUUUACUCUAUUUAUAACAAAUAAGUGAACAAAGGAAUGAAAAGGAUGUUUGGCGAAGAAUCUUGCAUCUUAUCAAGUGGGGAAAGCCUUCGCAACAAAGAUGCUGCUUGCUUUCAAGCAAUAAUAAUUUUCCAAUUCCAUAAGGUAGCUUAAUGCCUUUUAAGAAUAUCUGCACCAGCCUAACAAUUAAUCAUGGAAAUUCAAUUUGCAUUUAUCACCUUUAAUUUGCUCAUCUUUGUCCAGAGUAUUGUUUUUGCGUUAACUUAACUAGCUUGCAAACCACCUGCAAAUGGUUUUAAAUAAUGUGUGAGAUUGUGAGUUCGAACGAAUUAAUCAAAUAUGAUGACAGGAGAAACAAAAUUGAAAUAAGCACAAGUAGAAGUAUACUUUUGUUAUAUUUAGAUAAUCUUCUACUGUCUUCUUUUCCUUUAGCUCUGUUUCUGUGUGUGCUCAAUCGCGAUGCCUCAAUCUUUUGCAGCCAUAUGCAGACUUGAAACACUGUGGUGUCCCUAAGGAACUUGAAAAUUAGAAAAGUUUCAGUAUGAGUGACCAAAUAUGAUAAUCGAAACUAAUUUAAUAGACACGUCUUGUAAAUCUGAAACUAAAUUACUCGAGUGUAUAUGCCUCUUGGCAGCAAUUGCUCGUGGUGGAAAGUUUACUGCAAAGACUUCCUCAAACCCGUGAAGCUCACACUCUUCCAGGCAACAAAGAAACAGAGUCAAUAUACGAAGAUGAUUUUACUAACAAGUGAGAGCUUGCAAAUAUUGGAAGGAUAACGAUUACUCAUAACCCAAAUCCCCAAUACCUUCUAAUAUCUCACUCACGUGAGUUCAAGCUCCCAAAAUUCAUUACAGUGAAACUCUCACAACAAAAUUGUCUUCAAAGAUUCUCUACUCAAAUUUGAUGAUGAUAUCUAGCACUGAUCAAAUUGGCUUGUGAACAAUUAAGCUGCUUAGUAUCCUUAACCUGAUAAACUUACACAAACAAAAACAACUUGCCUAAAGUUUAAUAUUUAGAGGCAGAACAAUAAAGAAGAAGAUAUAUAUUGAUACUAAAAUUUGACCUGUAUUACCCUGAUGUCAAGCAUCACGGCAUCUCAUGUGGGUAAAAUCUUCACAAUACGAGAUGCUUGCAAAAUUGAAGCAGCAUCUUAUCACCUGUAAUUUAAUUAAGACAAUAACUUUCCCCCACUAUUUCAAUGCAUUAUUGGCAACUACAUUCAGCGGGCGCUAAUUAAAUACCCUUUUAACAAUAUCUUCUUAUUCUUCUCCAAUCUAACAGUUAUUUGGAAAAUCUAAAUGACAGUCAUGCAUCAAUGGCGUCAAAGUUUGGCUACAAAGCAGCCUGGAAAAGGCUUCACUCUCUGAAUGAGAGCAUGAAUUCCAAAAAUAUGAUGAAUGAAGAAACAAAGGCAUAAUAUCACAAGUAAAACUUUUCCCCAGAGCUCUGUUUCUGUUUGUGCUAAAGCCAAUGGAAACCGAAGGAAAUGAAUUUCUACGAAUUAGACAUAUCAGCCAAAACAGGUACUCUGUACAAGCAAAGUAAAAGAGAGUUAAAAAAAAUUUAAGAUUGAUAUGAUAAUUAAAAUUUCAGUCACCAUAUAAUUAAUAGAAAACUUUGUACACAAUGAUUUAUUGCGUAAUAAGACUGCAUACCUAAAUUUUAAUUGCGAUACAAAAUAUGAUAUUAGCAUUAGGAGACCGCACCAAAACGUACCGUAUUGAAUGUGCCUUUUCACAACCAUUGUACAAGCUUUGAAGCUUUGGCACAAAUGCUUUUUCAAACCCAUGAACAUGAGGCACCCGAGAGAUGCAAGAUAUGAAAUUGUUACUACAGCAGGCAUUGAAACAUUUGUUAAGAAAGGAAGUUUAUGAAAAUAUGCCUUAACAUUCAUUAGAUACAUGUCUUCAGGAAUCAAUUCAUCUGUAAUAACAAUUUUCAAAGAGCAUUAACUGCUUUAAGCCCCUCAACAUCACAGAGAUCUUCAAUUAAAAUAGCGCAGAUCCGGCCAUCACUAUUACUUCUACUGCUCUUUUGCUUUAGAAAACCGUUGAACUACAGAAUGCGUGUAAGGCUUUCUUGUUUAAGGUCCAGCAAACCUUGCACAAUAACAACAGAGGCAGUGGUUCCAUCACCAGCCUAAUCCUUGGUCUCACCAAUGUUCUGCACGAGUAGGAAGUCAAUCUAAAAAAUAAGAAUGAGUUGCAAAAACUGUUUAUGGCCCUAAAGAACUUGAAAAUCAGAAAUGAUUAAGAAUGAGUGACUAAACAUUUUAAUCGAAUAAACAUACAAAACUUGAAAACCUAAUAUUGAAGUACUCUGAAUGAAUGUGCAAUUGCACGAGCUGGUGACAACUGACUUUACUGCAAAGGCUCUUUCAAACCCUUGGAGAUGAUACUCUACAUACCAUGAUAACCUGAUAAUACAAAGAAACACAAUGAAUAUUAAAGGAUAUUCUGACAACGCAAAUUUGUGCAAACUAUCAAGUGUGGUUACCUGCAUAAUAGUGUCAACACCAAACUCCUGCCUCCAUUGAUUCCAAGAAUGAAACAAGAUAGAAAUGAUGAUCUUAGCACCUUAACAUCAUGCAACAAUAAUCAUCAUGUCUUUCAGGCAGCUGUCAAUUGAAACAGAGCAGACCCAGCCAUCACUUCCUUCUUUAAAGUCCAGCAACCAAACGUUGCACAAUAACCACAGUGAUAAUUCUUGGUUACCCCAAUGUUCUCCAUAGAGUCUUCAACGUCAGCCUAAAAAUGAAAUAAAAAUGCAAUGCAGGUGGAAAUGAAAAUUCCAUAAACUAAAUAAAUAAAAAAUGCAAUGCUUGAGCUUGAGCUUGCUUUAAUGAUCAUAAUAUUGAAUUUUGAUAUAUCUUUACUUCUCUGAGGUUCAAUCAUUUACUUCUCUGUUCUUGUUUAUUCACAAGAAGUUAUCAAUAGAAGAAGAUGGAAAUGAAAUUCUAUGAAAUAAAGCAAGUGAAUUACCAGCAGAACAGUUUAGCAAUCCUUUGGCUAAACUUCUCAUUUUCUUAGCAUACUCUCCUGCCUGCAUCAUUAAAACCAAAUUAGAUUGGACCUGUGAAUUGCUAGUGUGGUUCUGACAUUUCCUCGAAUCCCUGGUGAACAUAAUUAAACUCGUAUGAAAUAAAACAAAGAGGGCUAAUGUACUACUAAAAACAAUUCCACAAUUACUUUAAAGAAUUAAUGUCACAUAAAUUAUAUAUAAAAAAAACGAUUAUCAUUAUGCAAGACAAAAUUGAUAACUAGGAAGUUUUACAUAUUUAUACCAUGAUUGAUUCUAUAUAGAACCAUUAAAUAAUAAAUAUGUUAGACUUACAUUUAUUUUUUAGCCCAAAAAGUAUGAGAGAAAUUAGUACUUUCCAAAUUUAUUUUUUGUACCGUAAAGAAUCAAAUUACUCAUAAAAUUAUUUUUAACUUUCAUGAUGCAAACAAACAAAUCAUCAUUAAUUUCAAUAGAAAGAAGUAUUCUAGGUGGAAUUGAUUUCUGGAGCAGAAUAUGAUGUAUUUGGGACUUCCUACUCUAUUAGAGAGGUUAAUAACAUGUUAAUUGUCACAUCAUUAGUUUUAGAUUAUAAAUUUUAUAUUCAAACUUUGUAUGACUGCUCCUUUUUCAUUUGAAAAAAAAAAUUAACUUCUAGCAUGAUCUAAUUAAUUGAUCUUAUUUCAAAAGAAUCAAAAAAAUAAAUAAAUAAAAUAAAGCAAUGCCAUAAUCUAAUUGGUCUUGUUAUUGACAUGUACUAAUGCAUUCUAUAUUUUUAACUUUGUACAUUUUAUUGAUAUGUACAAAUUGUCAAUGUUUGCAGUGUCGUUGUUUGAAGUAACAACAAAGUAAAAUAGAGGAGAGAAAUUACCGGUGGGUGAUAGUAAUUGCAACCAUUCGAGAAUUUACCGCCACUUGAUGUGGGGAAUGUGAGAUAUCUUAUGCCAGUCUUCUCCUUUCCCCUCUCGAUAACGGUUUUCCAGAAGAGGACAUCCCUGAAUACUCAAGUGCUGCAGCGUCGUCGUUUGAAGAAGGUAAUCCGGCAGCACCUUUAAUUUGGGGCAAUGCUUAAUUUUCAAGGAAGAAAGACGUGGCAUGAUGGAGAUGUUUUCCUUCCUCGUAAUCCUGUAAUUCCACUCUUCCAAUUCAUCCAAGAACCAAAUUUUGAGAGAUUUCAAUUUGGGGAAGGCAAUAACUGAUGAUGACGAUGAAGAUGAAGAUGGGUCGUCCCAAUAACUGCUUUCUUCUAUUCCUAAAAACUCAUUACCCACUCUUUUUACACCAAUCAAAUUGCAUAGGAUGAGUUUUUCCAGAGGCAAUUUUCCCAAAGGAGGCAAAUGCUCACAGUUAAAACACAAGGAAAGAUAUAAAUUCCUUAGAUUGGUUAGUGAAGUCAACCAUUUGGGAAAAAUGACGCCUCCAUAGGAUUCAAUCCAUAAUUCCUCUACAUUCAAAGGCGGUUGUAAGGCUUCAAGAAGUUGUUUAUCUUUCUCGUUCUUCCUCCUCCUUUCUUCGCCUUCCCCAUCUACGACUACACCAAACUCAAGACGCAAACGAAGGAGGUUUUUCUUAUUGUAAAGUUGUAACCUCUCAGCCUCAUCUACAUGCGAUACAUUACUCAGCCCUUCUAUUCCACAUUCUCGAAGGAGUUGAAGAUUUUUCAGAGAUUCAAGCCUACACGUGCUGCCACCAUCAACACCUCCACCCACAACAAACUUUUCUAAUGUUCGAAGGCUGGUCAAUCUGGAAAUCCCUAUUGGCAGGUACUUCAGCUUUUCAGUUUGAUCAUUCAGUAAACUCCUCAUGUUCUUUAACUUCCCAAUCCCCGCAGGCAAUUCUCUAAGAUAUUUGCACCGCCUAAUAUCUAGUUUUUGUAAAUUAUAUAAUUCACACAAAGUCUCAGGUAGUCUCGCUAUAUACAAUUUAGACAACUUAAGAUAUUUUAAAUGUAUCAAUUUUCCAACAUUAUCUGGAAUUUCUGUAAUCCAAUUUGUGUCUUCAUACAAAAGCUUGGUCGAUUGGCUUAUAACUAAUGCCCUUAAACAUGCCAAUUUACUAAAUAACUCCCGAAGGAUGCUACUGUUAAGAGAUAAAUUGACAAAACUUUGGUCAUAAAUUAAUAGGGUACGCAAUCUAUUAAGUCCAUAAAUGGUCAUAGGAAAUGAAGCUCCUCCUCCAAAAUUUAACCCUAAGUGACGGACUUUGUCACCAAAAAAGUUUAUGACUGAUUCCUUGGUACCAUUAAUUUCUAGCCACAAACAUUCUUUGCUACUUACAAAUUGGGCAAAAUCAUGUACUAUGUCAUGCAUCUUACACCACAUAAAAUCAUCAUCGUCAUCAUAUAUUUUAAACUCUUGAAAGAAAGAGCGUGUUGCUAAGAUGUUGAAAUACUCUUCUCCAAUCAUCUCCAUUUCUUCGUCUUCUUCUGCAUUAAGGUAACCUUGAGCCAUCCACAGAUCAAUCAACUCCUCUUUAUCCAUCUCGUAGUCUUUUGGAAAGACAACACAAUAUGAGAAACACCGUUUUACCAUAGAAUUGGAGGGCAAAUCGUUAUAACUCAACAACAAAGGAGCUAAAAGACCUUGCCCAAUCUCUUCUACUUUCCACAUUUCACUAUCUAAAAUUAUUUGCCACUCUUUUUCUGUAAUUUUAGAGCGCAAGAGAUUCCCUAUUACCUUUGCAGCAAGAGGCAGGCCUUUGCACUUCCGUGCAAUUUUUCUCCCGAUUGGUUCUAAUUUUUCACGAUCCUCAAAGGACCUACGUAGAAAUGCUAUCUGCUUAAACAGUAACCAACAUUCCCCUUCACCCAACUCCUUGACAGGGAUAAUAUCUAUUGAUCCCAACUGUAGUGCAACUGACCUAUCACGUGUGGUAAUUAGAAUUUUACUUUCAUGGCGGCCAUUCUUUAGACAAGAAAAGAAUAGGUCCCAUUUUUUGUAAUCUCCAUCCCACACAUCAUCUAAAACAAGAAAAAAUUUCUUCCCUGUAAUAUAUUCCUGAAUCUGUUUCAUAAGAGAUUCGAAUUCGCUUAAACCAGAAGCUGACACACCUAAACCUUCAAUGAUUGCUUUGGCGACCCUAAUCUCCUCAAAAGUGUCUGAUACACACACCCAUAUAACUUUGUCAAAAUUUCUUUUCACCUCAUCAUUAUUAUAGGCUAGUUGUGCAAGAGUGGUUUUACCUAUACCCCCUAACCCAACUAGUGAGAUGAUAUGAAGGCCUUCUUGUUGUUCACUACUUUCACACAACAACUUGCUUAAGAGCUUCUUUUUCUCAUCAUCUCUACCGCAAACCUCUCCCUCAUCAAUCAAGGAGAUGGUUCGCACUCGCUCUGGAUUCCUAACAUUGUUACUCACAUUCUCAACAAAAUUAAACCUAUCUUUUCGAGUGGCAAUAUCAUCUAGCUUUUCACUGAUUUCUCUAAUCUUGACAGCAAUAUGAUGACGAAGACUGAGUUGUUUGAAACCACCAAAGCAGUUUGAGGCAGCAGGAAAGAAGGAACAUACCUUCGUCAAAAAAGUAACAAAAGCACUGUCGUUAUCAUCAUCAUCAUCAUCGCCUCGCUCAUCAAGCUGCAAUUUCCGUGUUUCAGUGAUCCACUCUUCCAACACAUCUUCCAUGUCGUAGGAUGCGUCUCUGAGCUGAUCCAGCCAAAAAGUAACAGCUUUGUCCUGCUUCAUUUGCCUCUGCUCUGCAUCUUCCAGCACAGCUUGAAUGGCUUGAAGAUUGGUGGUAAGCUUUCCCACUUCAUGUUCGACACCCGUGACAAGCCUCCACUUUUCUUUCACCUGAUCUUGAGCAAUGGAUUUCAGCUGGUCCAGGAGAGAGGAAACGAUCGCAUGAGCCAUUCUGAUAUUAGAUCAAAUGGUAAAUGCUGCAAUUGCUUUUCGUGCUGCUUAAAUGCUCAGAGGAAAGUAGCUUUUAUGUAUUCUGAGAGAAUGUUCAUUCAAGCAUGUUUGGAUUCUUCUUAUACUAAUUGGAGAUAUUUUAAUUUUUACCCUCAAGUCAAUGUCAAUGUGAACGUUCUUUUGUGCUGCAAAUUGAAGGAGUCCCCACAGGAGUCACCGUCGUGGGCUAGCUUUCUGCGGAGUACACAGCAUCAGCACUUGUAAAAUUUCUUACAUUUGUAUUUAGUUACUUGCCGCUCUUAAGAUAAUUAGCAACAAAAUAUUUGUAAACUGCAACAAAAAGCUCAGUGCAAUCUAUCUAUGAAUCUUGUGAGUUCACAUAUAAUACAGUCGAUUUAGAAUAGUCAUAAAUUUUUUUUAAUUAUAAAUAGUAGUAUAUUUUUAAUGGUAUAAUAUAUAUCGAUGAAACUAUAUAGAGUAAUUUCGCCUAAUUGUAUAAAUUCAUUAUGAAUAUCAUCACAAAUUUGUAUUUGGUCGGGACCGUGCGAGUGAAAUUUUUGAUAAAAAUCAUCUCCUGACAAUUUAUUUAUUAUAUUUUUCAAUUUAGCUUUAACGUAUGGAUCCAUUCCUUUUAUUAUCAGGUAGGCCAAAGCCAUUUGGUCAUUUGAUCCAUUCCUUUUAUUAUCAGGUAGUUCAAAUUUGUAUGGAUCCAUUCCUUUAGUUGGGACUUGGAAUAAGAUUAAAGAAAAAAAAGUUAUCCAUUUAUGAGACUUUAAUUUAUGUCAUUAUUGUUUAUUUAUAUUUAAUAUUAAUCAUGAAAAUUAAUAAUACCAUCAAUUAAUUGAUUUUACAUACUUUUUUAAAUAUUUGAUAAGAAUUUGAUAAAAAAUUAAUUAAGUAUUUAAAUUUUUAUUCAUUUUUUUAUUUGUUUAUUUUAUUAUGAAUACCCAAUAACUUACAAUAUGAUUAAUUUUCUUAUUCAGACUACUCAGCAUCAGCUCCUGUAAAAUUUCUUACAUUAUAAGCAACAAAAUAUUUAUAAACUACAACAAAAAGCUUAGAUCAAUCCACCGAUGAACCUUUUGAAGUUAUAUAUAAUAUAUUAAUUAUUGAUCUAGAAUAGUCUUAGUGGAUAGAUUUUUUUAAUUAUAAAUAUCAAUAAAUUUUUUAUCGUUUAAUAGAUAUUGAUGAAAUAAUAUAGUGUAAUUUUGCCCAAUCAAAUUAAUCCAUUAUGAAUUUCAGCACAAAUUUGCAUGUGGUCUGGACCGUGCAAGUGAAAUUUUUUUAUUAUAUUUUUCAACUUGGCCGACAACAUCUUUUUGUCAGGUAGGCAAAAGCAAAAGCCAUUAUCUCUAUUAUGCCAUGACAAACUCCAAGAUCUAAUUUAGAGAGCGACAACUUUUGUUAUCAGGUAGGCAAAAGCCAUUGUCUCAUUAAUUCAUUUGGUCAUUUGAAAAAGUUGUGGCUCUGUUUUAGUCCAGUGUCAAUAUAUAACUUUAUUAUGUCAUCACAAACUUCAAAAUAUAGUUUAGAGUGUGACUCGAAUAAUUUUAAUUAGUAAUUUAUUAUAUCUACAGUCGGAUACUUUGUUGAGAAAAAAAAAAAAGAAUAAAAUCUGUCCCAUAAUGAUUUUAAUAAAUAUCAUACUAUCGUCCACGUACUUGGGCCAUCUUCAAUAUGACACCAAAUCUAACACCAAAUCACCUUUUGUAUCAUUUUUAGUAUAAAAUACUUCUCUAAUGUAACACUAAAAGCAACACCAAAAUAGUGUUAUGAAUAAUAUUGCAUCAAAUAUGGUGCAACACUAUUCAUUUGGUGCUAGGAAAAAAAAGUCCCAAAUAUCCUUACUACCUUUUCUUAUUUACAUAUAUGUCCUAUUUUAUAUAAUAUUUUAAGUUAUUAUUAUUAUUAUUUUUGUUAUUAUUUUUUUUUCAUUUUUUUAAUUUUUGAAUAUUAUACUAAAAUUUUAAAUAAAAAAUAUUUAACACAAAAAUUAAUAAUAAAAAGAAAAUGCCAAAUUUAAUAAUUUUCUAUAUUUCUUUUGUUAAUCGAUAUAAAAUUAUUUAUUACUUAAUUAUAUGUAUUAAUAGUAAUAUUUAUUGUGUUAAUUGAAUUAAUUCUUGAAAUUAAAAGAAUAAAAAGAAGAAUAUUCUUUUUGGUGUAAAUGGAUUGGAGAUGAAAUAGCAAUUUGGUGUGAAAAAAGUACAUUUUUGGUGUAGUAUCACUAUUGUGGUGAUACUAUAGUGACACAAGAUACUGACGCAAAAAUCACUGACACCAAAAAUUAGUGUCAGUGUGUUCUAGCUUGAGCAUUACUGACACAAUUAACAAGUGUCAGCAAAAGUAAUUACUGACACUAAAGUGGUGUCAGUAAAGCCCAUUUUUCUAGUAGUGAAUUUUUAACUCAAUCGCAGGGCAUAAUAGCCUAGGUUGUUCUGCAUUUGGUUCGACUCAUCGCAAGCUUGGAAACUAUAUUAUAUGUCCAAAACGAAUACUCGUAACCCAAUUUCUAGCCUCGGAAGAUACCCUGCUUAUUCCAUGCAACAAUCUUAUAUCAACUUGCCUUCUCUGCAUCUUCAAGCACAACUUGAAUGGCUUGAAGAUUUAUGGUAAGUCACAAGCAGCAAAGGAGUUCAGCUGCUCCGGGAGAGGGGAAGCGAUCACAUCCAUUCUGGCAAAGAAAAGGAGAAAUAAUUUCAUAAGUUGUUCAACGUGCUUUUGUUGCAAAAAUACUGAAAGAAACGAGUUGUUGCAUUCUUCUUACACUACACGAAAAAUGUUUAUGGUUAUUGUCGCCUAACCCACGCGUCAAUAAUUUUAGCAUUUUUAAUUUUCCUGAUUCUACUCCACAUCUGUGAUACAUAAUUGUAAAUAUUCUCUAAUUAAUUUGUAGUGGUCGGGCCAGUGCCAUUUAAAACGAAAACAAAAAACCAAAAGAAAAAAAAAACAAAAGUUGGAAAAAAGCAUGCAUCACCGAUAAUUCAUUUAUUUAUUUGAGGACGGGGAUAUUUUCUACCUACUUAUUUUACAAAUCUACCUCGCUGUCAGAAAAUAAUUGUAAUACGUUCAUACUAUUUUUAAAAUAUAUAAAUCAAUAAAACGUAUAGACAAUCAAUAAAUUAAAUCAUUCAUAUAAUUUUUUAUUUUUUUAACUUAGGUGUCUUUGACCAUUUAGGUUGCUUUAAGAUAAGUUUUAUUUGACUAAUUUACCAUGAUAAUAUAAAAUGACUAAAAUACCCCAAGAAUCAAGAGUUCUUGUAUAUAAUAGUUUAGGUAUUUUAUUUUAUUUGAUUCAAUCUCCAAACUUAUUGUAAUUACAUCUUCUUUAUUUCAAUUUUUAAAAAAUAAUUUGAACUUAUUGUAAUUAUUUCUUGAGAGUGGGGUGGGUUUACAAAAAUUAUGGGCCUUUUCGUUUAUUAAUUCUUGGAAAUUAAUGGCUCCGUAAUCAAUUUCUUUUGUUCUUUUAUUUAAAUAGAAAAGAAAAAUUAAGAGGAGCUUUUGUCUAUUGAAUUGAGGUUCUGUGAAGAAAAAUACGUAUCAAAUGAUCGACGGAUUGUACUUUUCAAUUUUUUACUUCACAGUACUUUUCUUUAUUUGCUGGGUCAUUUAUGUUUUUUUGGACGGAUUUAAGUGUGCUUAUACAUUUUAUUGAAUUUUAUUUUGAUAAAAUCACCAACGAUCAGAAGAGAUUUACACUACCUAUCUGAGUAUUUGGUUCUCUAAUGUAAGGAAGCAUGUAAUCUUUCGCCAAUAAUUUUUUAUUUCAUCAAAAUGUUAAAAUGUUGAAAGGAGAAUUAGAUUUAUUUUUUAUAUAAAAAAGAGAAUUAGAGUUCAUAUUGUAGAAAAUUCUUUUUCCUACUAUAAGUCCAGUUCGAAUCUUUGAAGCAAAUGAUCUAAUCUCAAGCAUAGAAAGUAGGAAGAUCGAUUGAACAGCGGACACAUUAACAAAAAAUAAUUACUUUAAAAAGUUAAUAUUGGAUAUCACAAAACUUUUAUUAUUAUUAUUGUAAGUUGGUAUGUUGAAAAAUAAACAAGCUUUAUAUGAACUUUAAACACAGAUAAUAAUUUGCACGUAGUAAAAUUGCUUAAUACAUCCAUUAUUUUAUCAUUUUUAACUUUAUCUAUCGGUUAUUUUCAUUUUGAAAAUAUAGGAUAAAUGAAAUAAUAACAAACACAUAUUUCAAUUGAAAAUUUAUCAACUUGAAAACACCAUUUUCAUUCUCAUAAUAUGAAUUUAAAAAUAAAAUACAGAACAUGCCCUAACAUUUUCUGAAUUUAUUUUUAUACCGUAAAAGAAUCAAAUUACUCACACAAUUAUUUUAGCUUUUAUGAUAUAAACAAAUAAUCAUUAUUUAAAUUCAAUAGAAAGAGGUAUUCUUGGUAGAAUUGACGUCUUUAGCAAAAUAUAAUCUAUUUGGGACUUCUUACUCCAUUAGGUUAAUUGGCUCAUCAUUAAUUUUCGAUUAUAAACUUUAUAUUCGAACUUUGUAAGACCAUCAUUUCUCCCUUUUUAUUUUAAAAAAAAAAUUAACUUCUUGCAUGAUCUAGGUGGUCUCCUUUCAAAAGAAACCAAAAAAAAAAAAAAAACUAAAAUAAAAGGAAAUAAAGCAUAUUCUUUAUCUUAAUUACUUUCAUUUGUUAUUGACAUGUACUCAUGCAUUGUGGUCUUUUGUAUACUUUAUCGAUAUGUUUUGCUUAAGGGAUAAAACUCAUUAUGUGGCAAAAUUUUAUUAGAGCUGGGAUUAUUUAUCUGUGUUCUAGUACUUUGAGCAUCUUACUAUACACUCGUCUAUAAAAUUUUAACAUUAAUUUUUACUACUCAUCGAAAUAUCAAAAUAGUCCUUACUAAACAUCUCUCAUUAAUGUUCUGUAACGUAUGUGAAAAAAAAAUAAUAAUAAUAAGAGGAAGCUGGGUAAUGUUUUAUGGGCGAGAGGGAUAGAGGAAGCUGUCAAACCGACCCGGAAAACCCGACCCAAAACUGCGAACCCGACCCAGACAUAUCUCCGAUUUUCGGCCACCUCACCGGCCAUGGAUGGUAGCAACGAAAGCUCCUGAGCCAGCCAUCACUUUCCCACCGUCACUGUCGCCAAAAACCAACCGAAACGCCGCCGUUUGAAGCGCGAAUAGUCGCAGCCAAAACCUAUCACGACCGUCGUUGAUUCCGUCGGAAUUAGGCCAUGCCAGACGGAGAAAUGGUAGGGGGUAAACAGAGUUUGUAACGGAGGUGGGGUAAAUGGAGGAUGAUGUAGAGAGGGCAACCAACGGCCAUGAUGAGGGAGAGGAGGAGGAGGAGGAGGAGGAGGGUGAGGUUAUGGACGGCUGUGAUGGGCUUGAGGAUGUGGGGUCCAAUGAGAGGUGAUGAUGGUGGUGAUGUUGAUGUUGAUGUGUGGUAGAGGAUGAAUGUGAGGGAAAGGUAAGUGAGGAUGGAGAGAUACGUAACUAUUAUUUAUUGAAAAUUAAUUCUUUAAAUACUUUAAAAUGUAAAAUUAUUAAAUAAAAAUUCAUUCUAUUGUUGUUAAUUCACAAAAUUUUAAUUCAAUUAUAACAUUUCUACUUAUUUUUUUAAGUUAAAUUAUAUCUUUUUUAUUUUUUUUUCUAAAUUAAACUAAUUUUUCUAUUCUUCUAUUGUCUAAAGUUUUUCGACAUAGUUUUAUUUCAAAAUAGAUAAAACAAGCACAAAAAAAAGUGAUGAAUAAAAGAAUAUAUUAAAAAGAAAUAAGAACAAAUAACAACACAACUAAUUAAGAGAAUAAUAAAAAGAUAAAAUCAUAAAUUUGAGAUGAAAUCAUAAAUUAACUUAUAUUUAUAUUAAGGCUAUUGUUUGAAAAUUUGAGUAACGACCAAUAGUCAUAGAAAAUAGAGAAAACUAUUAGAUUUUUUCUUUUUCUUCUAUAGUAAAAAGUAGAGGAAGCAAGAUUUUUUCCCCUCUCUCUCUUUCUUUCUCUCAAACACCAAGAUGUCUUCAUUAUUGGAGGAAAAAUUUAAUGGAUAAGUAAUAAAAUGUAGGGCUUUUAUAGAGGUUCAAAAUAAAUAUAAAACUUUUGAAAUAUAACUUAUUAAUUUUAACAAUGAAAUAGAUAAUUUUUAGGAUUGAAACGAUUAAUUUAUUGGUUUUGUAGAAAUUAAAACAAUUAAGUACUACAUUAAAUACACUUUAUAGGAAUUUGAUAGUUUAUUUAGAAAAAAGAUAAUUACAAAAUAAUAAUAAAUUAAAUGAAUAAUAAUGACUUUUAAAUUCAUUUUCCUCUUUUAUAUACAAAAUAAUCAUCUCAUAGGACUUUUAUAUAAAGUGGAGUUCUAUGCAACUGCCUAAGUUGCCUAGAGGUCGAGCCGCUACUGAUUACAAGCCAAUAUUGGAGUGUUGAGGUAACUAGAUAUGAAGCCAUGGCUGGUUUUUGGGGGAGAAAGAUUUGGAAGAGAUUAUGUUGAGAGGAACGGGGGAGUUCAUAAAGUUUUAGGAUAAUGUGGAGGGUAUUUUGGACAUAUUACCGUCUUAGCUUAAAUUUUGGGAAAAAGAUAAUCAAUAAUAAACUAUUUUUUCAUAUCAAUUUAAAACUCCGAGUGUGUCUCCAAAAAUUGUUUUCUUUUUUUUAUUAUUUUGGAUUUUAAAUCUUAAAUUUAGUAAAGGAAGUUAAAUCAAGUGAUCACUUUUUUUUUUCAUGCAAAGCAAUUAAUCUUUUUUGUAAUUUAAGCAAAUAUUGGGUUGCGUACUUUAACAAUAUUAAUAUUUGAUUCGAAAUUUCAUCUACCGAAACUACAAAAAUUAUUAUUUUCUAUUAAAUCAAAAACAAAAUUAAGAAAUAACUUAUUAUCUGCCAACUGUCAUUCAACAAAGCCAUCACUCAUGCAAAAAAGGGAAAAAAAAAGUGAUAUAUUCAUUUUAACGUAAUUUCAUACCAACAUAUCAUCCUUUUCUUUUGAACAAUGACCUCUUCAAUAAUAAAAUAUGGUAAAAGAGGAUGGGUUUCAGGUCUGGCGUCCGGGCCUUGGUGACAAUGGCAUCUUCUGCUCAAUCAAACUUGUGGAUUACGUGCACUCAACGUCGACAAUAUGGAAAUGGGAGAAAAUUAUGUUGAGUAACAUCUUGUAUGGUCAACGCGUCGAGUAUGGACUUGCAUGAUCGAGUCAGUACAACUAAAGUCGGGUAGAGUUUGGUAAAUCUCUAUAUUGGCUUGAGGUUGGACAACUAUACCUUUUAAGCUACAUAUUUAAACAAUUUUAGUAAAUAUUUACUAUUUUGAUUUAAAAAUUAAUUUGAUUUGAUCUCAUAUUUUAUUAUUAAAAAAUUUAUAAUAUCUUUAAUAAUUUUAUUAAAUUAUUAUUUAAAAGUCAUACAUUUACUGCACAUUAUCAACUUUCUGCUAUUUUUUUUGUUCUCACAACAGCUAGUAAUAUCAAACAAGAGCUAAGUUAAGUAUGAUCAAUUAAUUAAAGUUUUGAUUUUUUGUAUAAAAUAAUCCUUAGAUAAUUAGUCUAUAUAGAAUAUUGGCUACUUCAAAUGGAAACUUGUGAUCAAAAGUGUAAUUCCCUCUAUCAGUGAACUAUACUUGCCAGGAAAUUAACCCCAGGCGAGUACCACCACCUCCUACUAUUUCUUAGGUGUCUCAGAGUUUGAUGAGGACUUCCAUGACGUGUCUCUUCGACAGGCAGCGAAAUUGGGCAAUUGACUACAUUAACUCCAACAAAUUUAUGCAGUCACCUUCCUCCGGACUAUCCUCUUUCUUCGCGCUUUAGUUGCCCUUAUUUCCCCUUUAAUACAGUCAACAUUAUCUUGUUUGAUGCCAAGGAGACCAAGCCCAGAAACAAUGGCAUUCUUUGAUAUCAACCACCUGGGGACUUUUGAGCUGAGCCAUGACAUCCUGAGAUGGCCUGUUGUGUAAGCCUUCUUCAAAAGGUCAUCCGUUAAUCUUUCUCCUAAUUAGACAUUCAAAACCCUGCAUGGAAUCGAUUUGAGAAGUUGGACAAUAGACAAACUCCAACACAUAUAGACAGUAAAGAAGAAUUUAGACCGCAAUCACUGUGGCUCAACAAAUGGGCCUAUUAAAGCCUAUUAAAAGUUGGAACCAUAUUCACCACUCGCAUUUCCUUAAGAGAGCUAUACCAGAAUUCUGUAAAUUUAAAACUUUUCUUACAUAAUUAACUGUAAAACAAGAGAAAUUGUACUUCCGUAGCAAAGUCUCACUAUUGGUAAGUAUCUGGACUUGGAAAGGAUGCUAGUUGAUGAAGUAAAGGAAAAUUGAAAUCAGACUUUGAGGUGACAGAUCUAUACACUUCAAUAGGAACCACAUUGACAUCAUAUGAGACAAAUAAACAUUCCCCAGUCAAAGUUUAACAAACAAAACAUUAAAACAAGAGUAGGUUGGUCUAUCAAUGUAUAUAUAGACAUGUCGAUCAAUAGACAAAUACGUAAAAGAGGGAGGGAGAGACCUCAAAGCCGUGCUACUCCAAUAACUUCAAAAUUGUUCGUGACCACUCUAUCAAAUCCACGCAAUAGUUGCAUACACUCACCGAUGGGUUUGUCACAGAUAACCUGUUAGGCAUUAAAAAUUGCCCAAAUUAAACAAAUGUUAGACCAGCUUAGACAGUAAACGGAACAAUAUUCUAAUUUUACUUUAUUUAUAACGAAUAAGUGAACAAAGGAAUAAAAAGGAAUUUUGGCAAAGAAUCCUGCAGCUAAUCCCACCAUACACCGCUCUGCAGGCUUAUUUGGGAGUCAAAAUUCUCAAAAUGUACUAAGAAAUGACAUUUGUUCACUAAUCCCACCAACAAGGAGGAAGUGACGUGAAGAGAAUUUACUAAGAAAUGCCAGUGUAUUAAUAUUGAAGGAAAACAUUCACUGACGACCAAAAUCGCUGAUAUAUGCUUAAUUUCUCACUCACUAAGAACGUUCAAUUCAUUCAAAUGAAACUUCCACAGGAAGGUCUCAUUAUUAAGGCUUUAGCUUCACCUCACAUGCUCAACAAUUCAAAUUUGAGGAUGAUAUUUCUCCAAAUGGAGGGCUCUAUUUGGCUUGCCAACAAUCUUCCUCACAACUAUCAUCCUUGCUAUAUCGGUUGCACUGAGCAAUCUUCAUUCUGACAUUUGCCCUAUUAACCUGAGUACACAAGAAUCCGAAACAACUGUUAGAAAUUUUAAUCUUUAUAUACAGCCAAAAUGGUGAAUAAGAUGAUGUACUGAUAAUAAAUACCUGAGUUAAUAAAUAAUUAAGGGGCCGGUAACAAUCUCAGCAUCUUAUCAAGUGGGGAAAGCCUUCGCAACGAAGAUGCUGCUUGCUUUCAAGCAAUAAUAACUUUCCAAUUCCAUAAGAUAGCUUAAUGCCCUUUUAAGAAUAUCUCCACCAGCCUAACAAUUAUUCAUGGAAAUCCAAUUUGCAUUUGUCGCCUUCAAUUUUCUCAUCUUUGUCUAGAGUAUUGUUUUUGCAUUAACUUAGCUAGCUUGCAAACCACCUGCAGAUGGUUUUAAAUAAUGUGUGAGAGUGUGAAUUCAAACGAAUUAAUUAAAUAUGAUGACAGGAGAAACAAAAUUAAAAUAACCACAAGAAGUAGAAAUAUACUUUUGUUAUAUUCAGAGCAUCUCCUACUGUCUUCAUUUCCCUUAGCUCUGUUUCCUUUUGAGCUCGAACGCAAUGCCUCAAGGCUCAAGAUAAUUUGAUGACCAUCAAUCUUUUUGCAGCCACAUGUAGACUUGAAAAACUGUUGGCGGCCCUAAAGAACUUGAAAAUUAGAAAAGAUUCAGAAUGAGUGACUAAAUAUUAUAAUCAAAACUAAUUAAACAAACGCGCCUUGAAAAUCUGAAACUGAAUUAAUCAAAUGUAUAUGCCCCUUCACUGCAAUUGCACGUGGUGGAAAUUUUACUGCGAAGACUUUCUCAAACCUUGAAGAUCACACUCGGCCUGACAACAAAGAAACAAAGUCAAUAUACGAAGAUGAUUUUACUAACAAGUGAGAGCUUACAAAUAUUUGAAGGAUAACGAUCACUCAUAACCCAUAUCCCCAGUAUUCCCUAAUAUUUCACUCAAGUGGGUUCAAGCUCCCAAAAUUCACUACAGUGAAAUGUCAAAACAAAACUCUCUUCUCAAAUUUGAUGAUGAUAUCUCUCGAAGGGAGGCAAAAGAAUCUAACACUGAUCAAAUUGGCUUGUGAACAAUUAAUCUUCCUCGCCAUCAUUCAUACCAGGUGCGGUGAACAAUCUUCAUUCUGACAUUUGCCUUAAUAAGCUGCUUAGUAACCUUAACCUGAUAACUCACACAAACAAAAACAACUUGCCUAAAGUUUAAUAUUUCGAGCAGAACAGUAAAGAAGAUGAUAUCUAUUGAUGCUAAAAUUUGACCUGUGUUACCCUGAUGUCAAAAGUCAUAGCAUCUCAUGUGGGCAAAAUCUUCGCAACACGAGAUGCUUGCAAAAUUGGAGCAGCAUCUUAUCACCUGUAAUUUAAUUGAGACAAUAACUUUCCCCAACCAUUUCAAUGCAUUAUUGGCAACUAAAUUCAGAGGGUGCUAAUUAAAUACCCUUUUAACAAUAUCUUCUUAUUCUUCUUCAAUCUAACAAUUAUUUGGAAAAUCUAAAUGACAAUCAUGCAUCGAUGGCAUGAAAAUUUGGCUACAAAGUAGCCUGGAAAAGGCUGCUCUCUGAAUGAGAGCAUGAAUUCAAACAAAUAUGAUGAAUGAAUAAAUAAAGGCAUAAUACCACAAGAAGUAAAACUUUUCCCCAGAUUUCUGUUUCUGUUUGUGCUAAAACCAAUGGAAACCGAUGGAAAUGAAUUUCUACGAAUUAGACAUAUCAGCCAAAACAGGUACUCCGUACAAGCAAAGUAAAAGAGGGUUACAAAAAAUUUUAAUAUUGAUAUGAUAAUUAAAAUUAUAAUGAAAAUUUCAGUUACCAUAUAAUUAAUAGAUAACUCUGUACACAAUGAUUUAUUGCAUAUUAAGAUUGUAUACCUGAAUUUUAAUUGCUAUACAAAAUAUGGUAGUAUCAUUAGGAGACCGCACCAAAUGUACCGAAUUGAAUGUGCCUUUUCACAGCCAUUGUACAAGCUUUGAAGCUUUACCACAAAUGCUUUCUCAAACCCGUGAUCAUGAUGCACCCGAGAGAUGCAAGAUAUGAAAUUGUUACUACAGCAGGCAAUAACCACAGUGUUAAAACAAAUGUUUAUACAGGAUAAAUGAUUCCAAGAAUGAAACAAGAUAGCAAUGAUGAUCUCAGCACCUUAACAUCACGCAAUAAUAAUCAUCAUGUCUUUCAAGCAGCUAUCCAUCCUCAAUUGAAACAGAGCAGAUCCGGCCAUCACUUCCUUCUUCAAAGUCCAGCAACCAAACGUUGCACAAUAACCACAGUGAUAAUCCUUGGUUACCCCAAUGUUCUCCAUAGAGUCUCCAAAGUCAAUCUAAAAAUGAAAUGCAGGUGGAAAUCAAAAUUCUAUUAACUAAAUAAAAUAUAAAGUGCAAUGCUUGUGCUUGAGCUUGCUUUAACAUCAUCAUAAUAGCGAAUUUUGAUACACCUUUACUUCUCUGUGGUUCAAUCAUUUACUUCCCUGUUCUUGUUUAUUCACAACAAGAUAUCAAUAGAAGAUGAUGGAAAUGAAAUUCUAUAAAAUAAAGCAAGUGAAUUACCAGUAGACCAUUUUAGCAAUCCUUUGGCUAAACUUUUCAUUUUCUUAGCACACUGUCCUGCAGUACUGCCUGCAUCAUUAAAACCAAAUUAGAUUGGACCUGUGAAUUGCUAGUGUGGUUCUGACAUUUCCUCGAAUCCCUGGUGAACAUAAUUAAACUCGUAUGAAAUAAAACAAAGUGGGCUAAUGUACUACUAAAAACAAUUACACAAUUACUUUAAAGAAUUAAUGUCACAUAAAUUAUAUAUAAAAAAAUACGAUUAUCAUUAUACAAGAUAAAAUUGAUAAUUUAGUUUUCGACAUUACUGCAAAUGUAUGAAGGAGAUUUUGUCACUCAGGAAGUUACACAUAACAAAUUUCCGUACAUUAAAAAAUAAAUUACAUUGGGAUUUUCUAUGAUGUUGUAUGAAAUUUUACAAAAAAGCACAUAUUUUUUAAAAGUAAAUAAAUAUAGAAAUUUCAACAGACUAAACUUGUAUUUUUUUUUUAUUUAAUCUUUAGAAAACAAGUUUAACAUAUUUGAUAACUAGGAAGUUUUACAUAUUUAUACCAUGAUUGAUUCUAUAUAGAAUUAUUAAAUAAUAAAGUAAUGCCAUAAUCUAAUUGGUCUUGUUAUUGACAUGUACUCACGCAUUCUAUAUUUCUAACUUUGUACAUUUUAUUGAUAUGUACAAAUUGUCAAUGUUUGCAGUGUCGUUGUUUGAAGUAACAACAAAGUAAAAUAGAGGUGAGAAAUUACCGGUGGGUGAUAGUAAUUGCAACCAUUCGAGAAUUUACCACUCGGACUCGAUGUAGGGAAUGUGAGAUAUCUUAUGCCAGUCUUCUCCUUCCCCCUCUCUAUAACGGUUUUCCAGAAGAGGACAUCUGUGAAUAAUCAAUUCCUGCAGCGUCGUCGUCCGAAGAAGGUAAUCCGGCAGCACCUUUAAUUUGGGGCAAUACCCAAUUUCCAAGGAAGAAAGACGUGGUAUGUCUGUUGUCUUGCGAUCUUCUAGAAUGGGCAGUUCUUCUAGAAGAUCACAAAAAUAAAUACGCAGUUCCUGCAGUGCCGUCGAUUGAAGAAGGUAAUCCGGCAGCGCCUUCAAUUUGGGGCAACCUCUAAUCCACAAGGAAGAAAGACGGGGCAUGAUGGAGAUGUUUUCCUUCCUCGUAAUCCUGUAAUUCCACUCUUCCAACUCUUCCAUUCCCCCAAUGUCGAGUGAUUUUAAUUUGGGAAAGGCAGUAACUGAUGAUGACGAUGAAGAUGAAGAUGGGUCAUCCUCACUGCUUUCUUCUAUUCCCAAAAACUCAUUACCCACUCUUUUUACACUUUUCAAAAUGUAUAGUUGGAGUUUUUCCAGAGGUAAUUUUCCCAAAGGAGGCAAAUGCUCACAGUUAAAACAAAACCAAAGAUUUAAUUCCCUUAGAUAGGUUAGUGAAGUCAACCAUUUGGGAAAAAUGUCGCCUCCGUAGAAACAAAUCUGUAAUUCCUCUACAUUCAAAUGCGGUUGUAAAGCUUCAAGAAGUUGUUUAUCUUUCUCAUUCUUCCUCCUCCCUUCUUCGCCUUCCCCAUCUACGACUCCAUCAAACACAAGAUGCAAACGAAGGAGGUUUUCCAUAUUGUGAAGUCCUAUUCUCUCAGCCUCAUCUAAAUGUGAUACAUUACUCAGCCCUUCUAUUCCACAUUUACGAAGGAGUUGAAGAUUUUUCAGAGAUUCAAGCCUACACGUGCUGCCGCCAUCAACACCUCCACCCACAACAAACUUUUCUAAUGUUCGAAGACUGGUUAAUUUGGAAAUCCCUAUUGGCAUGUACUUCAAUGAAUAAGUUUGACCAUUCAGUAAACUCCUCAUGUUCAUUAACUUCCCAAUCCCCGCUGGCAAUUCUCUAAGAUUUGGGCACCGCCUAAUAUCUAGCUUUCGUAAAUUAUAUAAUUCACACAAAGUCUCAGGCAGUCUCUCUAUACAUAAUUCAGAUAAAUUAAGAUAUUUUAAAUGUAUCAAUUUUCCAAUAUUUUCUGGAAUUUCUCUAAUGAAAUUUGGGCUAGGAUGAGAAAAUGAGGACAACUGUCUUAUAACUAAUGCCCUUAAACACGCCAAUUUACUAAAUAACCCCGGAAGGAUGCUACUACGAAGAGACGGACCUUUAUCAUAAAUUAAGAGGGUCCGCAAUCUAUUAAGUCCAUAAAUGGACAUAGGAAGUGGAGCGCCUCCUUCAAAAUUUAAUCCUAGGUGACAGACUUUGUCACCAAAAGAAUUUAUGACUGACUCUUUGUUACCAUCAAUUUCUAGCCACAAACAUUCUUUUCUACUUACAAAUUGGGCAAAAUCAUGUACUAUGUCAUGCAUUUUACACCUCAUAAACUCAUUAUCGCCACCGUAUGUUUCAAACUCUUGAAAGAAAGAGUGUGUUGCUAAGAUGUUGAAAUACUCUUCUCCAACCAUCUCCAUUUCUUCGUCUUCUUCUGCAUUAAGGUAACCUUGAGCCAUCCACAUAUCAAUCAAUUCCUUUUUAUGCAUAUAGUGGUCUUUUGGAAAGACAGCACAAUAUGAGAAACAUUGUUUUACCAUAGAAUUAGAGGGCAAAUCGUUAUAACUCAACAACAAAGGAGCCAAAAGACCUUUCCUAAUCUCUUCUACCUUCCACAUUUCACUCUCUAAAAUUCUUUGCCACUCUUUUACUGUACAUUUAGAGCGCAAGAGAUUCCCUAUUACCUUUACAGCAAGAGGCAGGCCUUUGCACUUGCGUGCAAUUUUUCGUCCGAUUGGUUCUAAUUUUUCACAAUCCUCGAAAGAGCGACCGAAAAAUGCCAACCGCUUGAACAACAACCAGCAUUCCUCUUCAGCUAGUUGUUCAAUGGAGAUAAUAUCUAACUCUAUUGUUCGCAUCAUACGUGCAACUGACUCAUUACGUGUGGUAACCACAAUUUUACUUCCAGGAAGACCAUUCUUUAGACAAAAGAAGAAUUGAUCCCAUAUAUUAUAAUUCCCAUCCCAUACAUCAUCUAAGACAAUAAAAAUUUUUUUUCCUUCAAUUGAUCUAUGGAUAUGGCUCAUAAGAGAUUGGAAUUCGCUUAAACCAGAAGCUUCUUUUGACUCGCCUAGUCCUUCAAUAAUUGCUUUGGCGACCCUCAUCUCAUCAAAAGUGUCUGAUACACACACCCAUAUAACUUUUUCAAAAUUUAUUUUCACCCCAUCAUUAUUAUAGGCUAGUUGUGCAAGAGUGGUUUUACCUAUACCCCCUAACCCAACCAGUGAGAUGAUAUGAGGAUGUUGUUCGCCACUCUCACCCAACAACUUACCUAACAGCUCAUUUUUCUCGUCAUCUCUACCAAAAAUCUCUCCCUCAUCAAUCAAGGAGGUGGUUGGCACUCGCUCUGAUUUCUUAACAUUGUUACUCACAUUCUCAACAAAUUUAAACAUAUCUUUUCGAGUGGCAAUACCAUCUAGCUUUUCACUGAUUUCGCUAAUCUUGACAGCAACAUCAUCACGAAGAAUGAGUUGUUUGAAACCACCUAAGUAGUUUGAGGCAGCACGAAAGAAGGAACAUACCUUCUUCUUAGGAGGAGCAAGAGCAAGAGCAUCGUCAUCAUCGCCGCCCUCAUCAAGCUGCAAUUUCCGUGUUUCAGUGAUCCACUCUUCCAACACAUCUUCCAUGUCGUAGGAUGCGUCUCUGAGCUGAUCCAGCCAAAGAGUAACAGCUUUGUCCUGCUUCAUUUGCCUCUGCUCUGCAUCUUACAGUACAGCUUGAAUGACUUGAAGAUUGGUAGUAAGCUUUCCCACUUCUUGUUCGACACCCGUCACAAGCCUCCACUUUUCUUUCACCUGAUCUUGAGCAAUGGAUUUCAGCUGGUCCAGGAGAGAGGAAACGAUCGCAUGAGCCAUUCAGAGGAAAGUAGGUUUUAUGUAUUCUGUGAGAAUGUUCAUUCAAGCAUGUUUGCAUUCUUCUUAUACCAUAUGAGAUAUUUAAUUUUUACCCUCGAGUCAAUGUCAAUAAUUGUACAGCGUCUGCCCUGUUUCUCUGAUUCAUAAUAAUUCAUUGUUAAUUCUGCAGAGUACACAGCGUCAGCACUUGUGAAAUUUCUUACAUUUGUAAAAUCAUGCAGCCGACCCUUGUGAACUAACUAAUUAACUAAAUUUUCUUACAUUGUCAAUAAGUUAUGAUUAUUGUGAAUUUUCCAUCCCCUAUAUAAAUUCUUAGAUUUAUUUAAAUUGUGAGUCAUAGAAGUAUAUUACCUAAAUUAUUUUAUCAGGCCAUGUUCCGAUACUAGGAGUAAGUACGGAAUUGGACUAAUUUUGUGAUUAUCUAUUUAUCUCAUAUUUGAUAAGCUUAAUUGAAUUGGAUUUAGGAACCAAAUUUAAAUUUAAUCCUAAAAUUAUGGAAUUGAUAAUCCUAAUUUACGCAUAACUUUAGUUGGGAUAAAAUUAAAGAAAAAAAGUUAUCCAUUUAUGAGACUUUAAUUUAUAUCAUUAUCGUUUAUUUAUGCUUAAUAUUUAUUUAUUUUUUUUAAUUUAUGAUUUACUUAAAAUUUAUUUUUAUUUAUUAUCUAUCAUCUGAUUAAAUUAGAACUUUACUUCUACUAACUCUUGAUAUUAAUUUUUCAUUACUUGCAUAUUUGAUAAUUUGUCAAUAAAAUUAACCAUUUAAUAAUUUAUUGCAUAAUAGAUUGUAUUAAACUUACUAAUCACUAAAAAAAUAUUUAAAAUCAUCAUGAAAAUUAAUAAUACCGUCAAUUAAUUGAUUUUAUAUACUUUUUUAAAUAUUUGAUAAAAAAUAAUUAAGUAUUUAAAUUUUUAUUUCAUUUUUUUAUUUGUUUAUUUUAUUAUGGAUACCCAAUAACUUGCAAUAUAAUUAAUUUUCUUAUUCAGACUACUCAGCAUCAGCUCCUAUAAAAUUUCUUACAUUAUAAGCAACAAAAUAUUUAUAAACUACAACAAAGGGCUUAAAUCAAUCCACCGAUUAACCUUUUGAAGUUAUAUAUAAUAUAUUAACUGUUGAUCUAGAAUAGUCUUAGUGGAUAGAUUUUUUUUAAUUAUAAAUAUCAAUAAAUUUUUUUUAUCGUUUAAUAGAUAUUGAUGAAAUUAUAUGGAGUAAUUUCGCCCAAUCAUAUAUAUUAUAACAAAAGUUGGAAAAGAGAAAAAUAAAACAAAAGUUGGAAAAAUCAUGCAGUCGUUGGGAAUUUCGAAAUUUGAGAAUUUUGCCCGUAGCUACAGGCUGCAGCGAUUUUUGACUUUCAUGAUGCAAACAAACCAAUCAUCAUUAAUUUCAAUAGAAAGAAGUAUUCUAGGUGGAAUUGAUUUCUGGAGCAGAAUAUGAUGUAUUUGGGACUUCCUACUCUAUUAGAUAGGUUAAUAACAUGUUAAUUGUCACAUCAUUAAUUUUAGAUUAUAAAUUUUAUAUUCAAACUUUGUAUGACUGCUCCUUUUUCAUUUGAAAAAAAAAAAAAAAAUUAACUUCUAGCAUGAUCUAAUUAAUUGAUCUUGUUUCAAAAGAAUCAAAAAAAUAAAUAAAAUAAAAUAAAGUAAUGCCAUAAUCUAAUUGGUCUUGUUAUUGACAUGUACUAAUGCAUUCUAUAUUUCUAACUUUGUACAUUUUAUUGAUAUGUUUCUCUUGAGAGAUAAGAAUCAUUAUGUGGCAAAAUUUUAUUAAAGCUGGGAUUAUUUAUGUUCUAAUACUUUGAACAUUAAUUUUUAAUCUACUCUUUAGAAUACAAAAAUAAUCCUUACCUAAACAUCUUUCAUAAAUGUUUUUUGCUGGGGCUGCUAAAAUUCAUAAUCUAAUAUUAGUUGAUGUGGCAUGUGUCCUAUCACAUAAAUGUAGAUAAUAAUAAUUAAUUCAUUAACAAAAUGAAAAAUGUUAGUUUACAAAAUACAAAUCCGAAUUUUUUGUGUGUUAGAGGGAAUUUAAAAGGGAGAGACUAAACAAAUGUGGUGACAAAUUACACGUAUUACCAAAAUUGAAAAUACAAAGUUUAGGCAACUGGAAACAUCUCUGUCAAUGGCAAUGAACCCAUUACCUCCAUUUAUAAUUAACCAAAAAUCAAAUAAAUUAAAAAAGAAAACACAAAGCAAGGAUAACUACUAGUUGUUUUGAUCAUCCCUGCUUCUUUUUCUUAGCAUAGCUCUUGUAAUGAAAAUUAACAAAAAGGGCCAAAAGGGAAGCAUUAAACACAGUAUUGAAGCACCAACCCCAAAACACAGGGAAACCAAAUCCCGUGAAAUGAUAAUUCAGCAUCAAAAUGAAAAAUGUUAUGGAUGGCUGUGAUGGGUCUGAGGAUGUGGGGUCCAAUGAGAGGUGAUGAUGAUGGUGAUGUUGAUGUUGAUGUGUGGUAGAGGAUGGAUGUGAGGGAGAGGUAAGUAAUGAUGGAGUGAAUGAGGAUGCGUGGGAAGGAAGCUAGGGUUUGGUUUUGAGUCCAUGUGAAGUUGAGGACUUGUGGGUGGCUUACAAGCAAUAUUGGAGUGUUAAGCUGAUUGAAUUUGAACAGUGCUACUCCAAUAACAUCAAUAUGGUUGAUGACCGCUCUAUCAAAUCCUUUGGAUAAAUGAAUUGACCGCUCUAAAAUAAAUGAAUGAGAUAGGAUAAAUUCGAAUAAAUUAAUCUGCAUAAUGACACAAGAAACAAAUAUAAAUUGACCGCAAGUAGAAAUAUACUUUUGUUAUAUUUAGAGCAUCUUCCAAUUUCUUUCCCUUGAGCUCUGUUUCUGCGAGUGCUCAAAAGCAAGACACAGGCCUCAAGAUAUAAUUAUCAUCAUCAAUCUUUUGCAGCCACAUGCAGUACUUGGAAAAUGUUUAUGGCCCUAAAUAACUGGAAAAUCAGAAAACAUUAAGAACAAGAGACUAAUCAUUUUAAUCGCAACAAAACAUGCACACUAUGAAAAUAUAAAAUUGAAUUACUUCGAAUGGAUGUGCCUCUUAACAGGAAUUGCACAAGCUAAUGAGCAAGUGAGCCUUCGAAUGAAAAUCUAAAUCCUUGCAGCCUGCGUCAUGCAGCUUCUCCCAAUGAGUAAGUGAACCUUGAACAGUUAUCACUCAGCUCAAACUAAAAUGAAAUUACUGUGGACAUGUGAAUUAAAAAUAGAUGUAAAAGUAGUUUUCUCAAAGCAAAGUCAAGAUAAGAGAUUAACUCUAC
Molecule: long non-coding RNA, 56209 nt
Filed under: Citrus maxima (pomelo)
Lineage: Eukaryota; Viridiplantae; Streptophyta; Magnoliopsida; Sapindales; Rutaceae
Description: long non-coding RNA (CMAX_LNC003743)
Source: RNAcentral